This 54352-nucleotide long non-coding RNA is filed under the name Citrus x clementina. Its description in RNAcentral is "Citrus clementina (C. clementina) long non-coding RNA (CCLE_LNC000079)". The record is from RNAcentral. Lineage: Eukaryota; Viridiplantae; Streptophyta; Magnoliopsida; Sapindales; Rutaceae.
UCUCACCGCAGGCCUCAAAUCAUUUUUCUCCAUGAUACCAGUCCGAGAUAUGGUCCCCAAGGGUGCUGCUGCAGCAUAUCCUCUCCUGUCCAUUUAAGAAAUUAUUAAUUAUUCUUAUUAAAAGAAAAAAAGAAAGAAAGAAAGAAAGAAAGAAAGAAAGAAAUCAUUAAUCAUAAGUGAAAGAAAUGAGAAUUAUAUAACAAAGAAAAAGAUUACUUUAAAGAGUUUUUAUAAUUCACAUGGUGAAACAGAAUCAUAUGAUCUAGCUAGCUUGUGCAAACCGAGGUGUUACUAAAAGCGCUAAUAAUCAAUCUGCAAAUGCUUUAGGUUAUUGAAUUAAUGCGUCUCAAGAAUGCGUUUAAAACAAAAUUAAGCGAUUUCGCCUUUCCAAAGUAUUUGCGGAGGAACAAAUAUACAAGGUCCUGUAUAAUAUUAAGGAAAGAUAAGGGUGCAAAAUAAUAUUUAGCCCAAUUAAGACCGUCCCAAUGUUAGUUUACUUUUUGGCCCCUCGUAUUCAUGAUUUUUAUGUUCUAACCCUCGAUGAAUCCGAUCAUUUUAAAAAAAUUUAUUUUUCACAUACGAAAGUCGAUCAAAAUCACAUGGCGAGUUUACAGAAAGGCUACGUUUGUUUUUUUUUUUUCGAAUUCGUUUGUUUGUUAAGUUAAGAAGGAAAAAAAAAAAAAGAAAAACAUUUGGGAGAUGACUUGAUCUCUUCUAAAAUGUCACUAGAAAUGUUUAGAUUGAUCAAGAAACAAAUAUAAACAGCUAAGGAUUCAAUGAUGAUGAGAUCAAGCGACACAACGUAGAACAAGAAACAAGAUAAAAUUAUCAUUUCAAAGAAGACCCAAAGAGAGAGAGAGAGAGAAAAAAAAGAGUUCUGUAAACAGACCUGCUAAUGGAGAGCGAGAUGCCAUCAGCAACAGGAGCAAGAAGAAGCUUAGCUUUGAAGAGAGAGCGGGCCAUUGUUUUAUUUACUUAUAGAACUUAAUAGAUAUGAAGAUAGCUAGCUGGGAUGUUUCUGUACAGUGCUACUACAGAAGAAGAAAGAUUCUGCUCCUGCAGUAGCUAUAGGCAAAAGCUAGCGGCUCGCUCUCUUUGUGCUGUGCUUGUGAGGAAGAAGGCUUUAGGGUUUUCUGUUAUUUAUAAAGAGAAAGGAGAAACUGUGAGGAGGCGACUUGUUGGAUUUGGGUUGGGCCGUUCUUUCAGAAGACAAAAGAUCUUGUCUGAGUAAUCUGACACGUCUUCUUAGGAGUUGAUGAUUCAUCGAAUCCUGACACAAUGUUAUUAUUAUUAUAGUACUGAUAUCUGAUCCAAGAUAAUUUUCAGGGCCACUAAUGUCGUUAUUUAAUAAUCAUCUUGAAACUUAUCUCUUUGGUCUGAUUAUCGGGUUCGGGUCAUAGACAAAGAAAAAUCAAACUUAACCCGAAAAUAUCUUUUCCUAAUUUCAAAAUUCUUUCUCUUGUUAUCUUUUAUGCAAAAUAAAUAUAUAACGUAACUGUUUUGAGAAGUAUUCAUGCGAUUAAUUUGAUACGUUCGUUUUAUUCUAAAAUAUUUCCUCAAACAGUUUAUUUCUUUAUUUUUUUAAAAUUAUUGGAAGGGUUGAGUUGGUGUUGAAUAUUCCUUUGAAAGGAAGAAAAUUUCGAGAAAUAUUAAUGAUUGUUUAAAAAAAAAAAAGAUUAAAUGUUGAAUAAAUUCUGAUUUCCCUCUAUUUUAAGAAUUAUUUUAAUAGUGAAAAGUGAAGACGCACACACCACAUUGAAUAUAGUAUAAGCUAUCAUAUAAAAGGAUGCGGUUAAUUUAGAGUUAUUCUCAAUAAUUUAUGAGUAUUUGAUAAUUAAAUUACAAUUGAAUUAUUGAGCACAAUUUUUAUAUAGACAUUAAUUAUAUUGUUAUACAAAUUAAUAAAUUCUUUAACCAAUGACCACAAAAAAUUACUGUAGUUUAAAUAGUAACUCUAAUUUUAUUUUAAUAGUAUCUUCUUAAUAUUUAAAUAUAAGUGCUCUAUUUUAUCAAAUAUAUGGAGAGACACAGAGAGUCGUAAGAGAAUUGUUGCCGCCGGAACUAAAGUUUGUGGCUCGUCGGUAGACCGAAGCGUAUGAAAUAACAACCGUCCACGUUUGCAUGAAGCUUUUGAUGAACAUAUAUAUAUUUUGUAUGGGGCGGUCUUGAAUCGCGAUGACGGGUGUUAAUCUCGACGCAAUGAUGAUUCAUAAUGGCCCGCAAGGGCCAUGAUCAGUGGGCGGCCUCCCUUGGAACUUCAAAAAAGUUUCUACUUUCUUGCACUAAACGUCUCUCUUAAUUAUGAGGCUUAACAAUUGGCAACCAUCGUAAGUCGUAACCUCUACGUGUCUCUUGGUUCAUGGAUGCCCACAUAUGAAGUCGGCCAUUAUCAUCAUCAUCGUCAUCAUCAACCAAGCAGUACUUCUUUACCAAUUACCAUUGCGUUAAUGCGAUCCGAGUGUGUAAACACUAAUUCGGAAGCUUCAAUUCAGUCUUAUAUUCCCGUUGAAUUGAUGAAUAUGCCUAGUUGUUCAAUACAAAUGGGAAACACCAGCUUAAACUAAAUAUUUGUUAUUAUUCAUCAAAUAACAAAAGAGCUCGCAGUGGCAUUUUUUUUUUUGUGGGGGGGGGGGGGGGGUGUUGUUUAAUACUUCUUAUAAUGCUUUAUCAGUUUAUCUGAUACAUGAUUAGUUAAGGACUGGGGCAUGGAUUGGAAUCCUACAGGUUUCAGCAGGAUGCCAAGAAAAGUGUUUCCGACGAUGGUUAAAGGGGAGAACAAAUCACCGGCCGAUGGCGGGUUGCUGUUGCGGGUGGCCAGCGGGGUUUUGAGGACUAAGCAGCAGUCGUUGAGUAGUGAAGAGACCACAAUUUGCACAGGAUCCAGCACUAUUGAAAAUGACCCUGACUCACUUGUUACUGCAGUUGAAUUAACAUUUCCACCGCACUGCAAUUGCACCUUUGCAUCUGAAAAAGAAUGAAAUAUUUGUAGCAUUUUCAUAAUAAAUUGAUUUCUUUUGUUGCAAUUGCAAACAUCAUUUUGGUAGUACCAAUACUAAGGAGGAUAAGUGGCAGAGCAGAACCUAUAACUAUUUUGCUUAGGCGGGGGAAAUAAUAUCGAAACAACAAAACUAAGAGGGUCGUAAUAGAAAAAUAUAAAAUCAAGGGAGCCAAAGUAAAAUUUACAUGAAUGAAAGGGGUAAGUAAAUGAUGCUUAGGAAUUGCUGCUUGCUCUAACGUACUUGGAAAAACAGGGGUUGCUUGUCCCAGGUCACCAAUGUUUCCAUUGACAGUGCAAUACAGAGUGCCUUCAAUAUGGAUUAAGCCAAGAAGGGUGCCUAUAACCCCACCUUGUGCAUCAGCCGUAAGUGUUGCCAUUGCAGCUACCAAGAUGACAGCAUAGACAAGUGAUUUCAAACCCACGGCUUCAACAUACGAUUGAUCGAUAGUGAUGGGCAAAUUUAAUAUAAAAUUGUGAGGAAGAUAUUAAGAGGUGACAAAUGCUUGCGUUGGUGUGCCGUGUGUGCGCCAUCUGCGUGACCUAUGAUCAGUGGCCUACUAAACGCCAUUUUAAAAUAUAUUAAGAGGCUUAGCCAGCAAAGGCAAACUCGUGUCAUCCGGUUAAUGUGGUCCGAGUCAUCUGCUUUCAUGAAACUGCUUUUGGUGGAUGUUUGGGACUUCCCAAACACACUCUUGAGUUGAGCACCGUAUAAGGCUGUGAUUGGUGUGUAUUGAAUUGAAAAAUGUAAUAUAUAAUUAAAUUUCAGUUACACACAAUUAUAAGCUCAAACUCAUUGAAACAAGAGACUUCAUCAAGACAAAAAGUCAAAACCUUCGACAGCUAGAGAAAGUAAUGCAAGUCGCUGCACACUGUUGCCCUAUUAUGAACGAAUGGGUUCGAAUUUUCUAAGUGGGUAGAUCUCGUAGUUCUUGCUUUCAUUUGAGUUACGGUCGUUAGAAUCUUGAACUAUACAUAUGCUAUAAUUAUACUGAUUUAGAAUUUUGACAAACCCCUUAUUUAUAUGCUAUAAUUAUAUGCUAUAAGAAAGUUAUUACAGCACAAUGGCAACAACUAGUUGGGAAAUCAAAGUACUAUGUACGUAAUAAUUAUAGGUCAUAUGGUGGACCUUAUUUAUAAUAUAAAAGAGCAGUGGCUUUAUUCUUCUAAAGCUUCAUCGAAGUUCAUGGGAUGAAUUGGAAUCCUGCGGGAAUGGUGUUAGCAUUGAACUGUAAAGAUGAAACCAAACCACCCGCAGCCGGCGGCUUAGCAUUGCAGCUGGCGAGCGGCGUGUUGACCACUAAGCUGCAGUUGGUCAGCAGUGAAGAGAGCACAUAAUUGUAGAGGAUCAAGCACUAUUGAAAAUAUUUCUGAUGCAUUAGUUGUUGCACUCGAAACAACUUUUCCAUUCCACUGCAAUUGCACCAAAGCAUCUGAAAGUGAAAACGUCAUUGUGUUAUUAGCAAUAUAAAUACUAAAGGAACCAGGAUAUGUUUGAAUUUUGUUUAUCUUUUAGUGAAUUUAGCUUUCUUUCUGUAUUUUAAAAAUUAAACAGCGACCGAAACAAAACAUUUAUGAAUUUUGGGCAUCAACUUACUGGGAAAAGCCGGGGUUGCUGUGCCAUUGACGCCCAUGUUGCCAUUGGCAGUGCAAAAAACAGUCCCUUGAAUACGGAUUAGACCAAGAAUGCCACCUAUUAGCCCAAAUUGGGCUUCAGCUAUGGGAGCCGUCACUGUAGCAAGCAUGAUGGAAACAAAGAGAAAUGAUUUCAAGGCCACGGUGAGCUCAAAGACCAGUGUAUGUCUAAUUUGUGAACAGACUUGCUGCAGAGGUAACCUAUUUAUAGCAGAUGGGGAAGGCAAGUUGCAGCAGAUUAAUAAGGCUUGUUUGGACAGACUCCACUCAUUAGAUGGCUUACUAAAUUUAGAAAAACAAUAAUCUUCUCGUCUUGAGAGUUGAGUUAUUGAUAUGAAGGUCUGAUUUUGUCAUGAAGCUAGAUCUGACCAGUGACCUUGCAUGCGUGCCAGCUUUGUGGGGGUUAACCUACAAGGCUGAACUAACUGAGAGCCUUAUAAUUCAUCCUUAUAAUUCAAUCUUAUAAGAAUUAUGAUUCUCCCGUGAUCUGAGCUUUCUUGGAUUUUUAAAUAUCGAGUGAUAAUAUUAUCUAUUAGUGAUAAUAUAUGGUUAAAAGUAAACUACUCUCUUGUAUUUUUAUCUAUAAACCAUUAAACAAUCAGCCAUGUGAAUUUUACUCGGGCAAAACUCAGAUUAUGAUGGAACCUUUGAUCUAUAUGAAAAGUUAUUUUGCCCUAUACUGGCUGUGUGAACUCCCCCAUGCGGUGCCAUUUUUGUACCUAUAUGAAAUUUGGUUUUAUUUCAAAAAGACUUUGAUCUUCCGUGUUUGACAUAGUCUUAUCAUUAGUAUGGUCCAUAGCUAGAGACCAUUUGCAAGCCUUUUUAUCAACGACUCCUUCCACUUGCUACAGAAACUGGCUUCAGCUUCCGGGCAUUUAAGGAUGUGAUAUGCACAAAGCGCCAUUAUGUAUAGCUGCCUAAGAGGUUGAUAUACAAUUGACCACUUUCAGCAGUAGAACGAAAGUAUACAUUAAAAUUAAUUAGUCCAUAUGCUAAAAAACUUCGGAUCUUUAUGACCCAAAAAUGUAGAUGCUACAUGCUAGUUGAUUCGAAUCUUUGGAUAUUGUACAAGAGACUUGGGGUGAAUUCGCACACAAAAUAGGGAGAUCGCAUUUCCCGACUCUUCUGUCAAGAGUUUACCCAGCUCGUCUUUUUAGGUUUCAGCAAGUAGUCGUGAUAAAUCAGGGAAGAUGUGGUAAUUCACUGACAACAAAAACUAAUUCCCCACGCCAAAUUUAUUCUGGUUUUGUCAUGAGCUACAUUCUUCUGGACAAGCGAAAUUGGCAAGUGCGCGAAUCAAAUGAACCAAGUCCAACAUGAGUAAUACUGUCCUUAGUCGUGAUAAAGCAAUAAAUUUGGCAUGAAACGGGCAAUACAUGGCUUCAAACCUAUCUGCACGAGCGGUUCUAUAUUUAUCAGCAAAAUAAUUCAGGAUGUUAGGCACUGAAAAGCGAUGGUGUAUAUACAAAAAGAGGUUGGUACACAGUGCGAAUUGGUGAGUUGAGAUGCUUCCAGUUUGGCUUCACCACAAUCAACAGUAUGGCAAUUGAGAGUAAAUCAGCCAUGGUAUGCUAAAAUCAUGAUCAACUUAGACUGAAAGUUAGAAAGUCGUUAUGAAAGGAGGGAUAGAAUCAUGGCUAAGAGAAAAUAAGGCUACAGUUGUGAUGAGCAAGGAUGGUUGAAGUCCCUAAAAAGAUGACUACAAAGAAAGUGCAGAACCAAACUAACAAUGUUGAUCUGCAAGUAGCAACUGCAACAACCAAGUCAUAUCCUAACAACAUACAGUAAACCGCACAACAGAAUAAACAGCCUGCUACUAAUCCUAAGGUUUUUGGCUUAUUCAACUCGAGCUGUUACAGCAUUAUAUAAUCAACCCAAACCACAAAUGAACAACAUAUUAAAUGACAACAUCCUCCUUCCAUGGAUAAAGACUAACUAAUAAAUGAAGUUCAAUAUCCAACUUAACAUUGUAAUAAGGCAAAAGUAAAACAAAGGCAUUCAAGACGCAAAAAUUUCAUAUAGUCAACUUGCAGAAGGUACAAAAAAGGGAGAACCUAAUAAAAAUAAAGAUGAUGAAAAUCCCACCACAUGGUUUCUAUNNNNNNNNNNNNNNNNNNNNNNNNNNNNNNNNNNNNNNNNNNNNNNNNNNNNNNNNNNNNNNNNNNNNNNNNNNNNNNNNNNNNNNCAUAAACAUUCCGGUCCUUGUUAGAUGCAAUCACACGAAGCCAAUCACGCACAUUGUGCUUCUUCAAAUACUUCUUUGUCAAGUACUUUAAGUACCUACAUAAGUGCUCAACUCAAUCAAUAACAGAAUACAACUAAAUACAUGAGCAAAGUUCAUUUUACCCUAAUUCCAAAAUUUCAAUUUCUAAACAGACUAAGUGUACCUAGUUUCAAGUAAAUUCAAAUUAUUUCAAAAUUUGUAAGAUAUUCUGAAAUUUGUCAAAUUUAUAGGCAUAAUCAUUGUUUAUAGGUAUUCUUCAAAGAACAGAAAGAAAGUCACAUUCUUUCAUUUAUUAUGAAAACCUAUUAAGCCAAAGCGCAGGGCAGUUUUAAAAGUCGCUUCAAAAGUAAGUACCUUUUGGAGAAGUUGGAGUCGGAGAGAACGGUGAUCUUAGUCUUGUCACGAGUGACGGUAACAGUGUCACCGAGGGCGCCGGCUUUGCCGCCAACUUUGAUGCGCUCUUGGAGGAACUUUUCGAGGGAAGCAAUGUCCAUAAUCUUGUCCUCGACAGGCUUCGCACAGUCGAUGGUGAAAGUUGCACCCUUCUUCUUUCCCUUGGCUCCACCACCGGCCGCUCCUCCGCUUCCUCUGCUCAUUGUUCUUUCUUCACUUGAUUGAUGGUUCCUACAGAAAUCAAAACGACGAAGAAUAAAGUAAGAAAAUUAAGAACGACAUUUUGACGAGGGUAGAGAUGAGUUUGUUACCUGCGUGCGUGGAUGAUUGGGGUUUUGGUGCGCCGCUGUAAUGGGAGAGAGAUUUCCGAGUUAGGGUUAGGAUUUUAUAUGGAGUGAGCCACUGUAUUUUGGAAGCAAACACAUGUUAAUGGGCUGAGGCCCGUAAUAUAGGAGGGCUCAUCUAUACAGUUUGUUAGUGGGCCGAGGCUCGUAAUCUUGGUGAGCUGAUCAAUCUGCUUAAAAAUUAUUAUUCUUAUUUUAUGAUAUAAAAAAAAAAGUACUUCUAAAAUUUCGAAAAUUAUUUGAAAAUAUUUUCCGGAAACAUAACUAAUGCUUUUAACUUCCCGUAAUUCUUCUGUUUAAUAAUAAUAAUAAAAUCUCGUAAUUACUGAAUAGCUUCCUCGUCAACCCCCCCACCCCCCCAAGUAGGAGUGUUCGCAGAUCGAAUUUUACGGAUUAGACAUCAAUCCAUAUCCAAUCCAUAAUUUUGCGGAUUAUAAUUUUUCAAUCCAAUCCAAUCCACAAAUUGAUUAAACUCAAUCCAUACGUCUGCGGAUCGGAUGCGGAUUUAACUUAAUCCAUAUCCAAUCCACCAUUUUGCUCAUUAGUUUCCGAAUUAAAAAUUUUAAGUUCUCCCCAAUACAUGAACAAAUGAAAUUAAAAAAAAAAAUCUAAUAUAAAAAUAAUUUUACUACCAAUUAAAUUUAAAAUUGAAUAAAAUUUAAACAAAUUAAUUAUUUUAAUAAAACUAAAAUAAUACAUUCAAAGUUUCAAAAUAUAGUUCAUCGAGAUUAAUUGUUCAAAUAAAGCUACAAUAAUACGUUUAAAGUUUCAAAAUAUAACAUAUUAAGAUUAAUUAUUCAAAUAAAGUUACAAUAAUACAUUAACAUAACAUCGAAAUUAAUUGUUCAAAUAAAGCCACAAUUAAUUGAAAUGACGAAGUUUCUGAAACCAAACACAGUCUGAUCCUUCACCAGUGCUAUUGCACUUGUCGAAAAGUGGUAAUUACGGAGCCGCCAACGAUGGGAACCAAGAGAAGUAUGGGUGGCGAUCUUGAAGGUUGGAUAAUACAAUUGUUUGGUUGGAACCAGUGAUUGUGAAGUGGCUCGAUGAACUCAAGGAAGAAGAUGGCUUACUCUCGCUGGAAUCACGUGGCCAACGUCCUUCAAAACGGUGUCGAGAGUGUAUCGAACCAGUAUUGGGUGUUGCUAAUGCGUGUGACGGUGGGGAAGCUUAGGGUUUUUUGUUUGCAAAUUGUUGGUGACUUGGCGUUAUGUUACUUUACUUUUGGGUGACUUUACAAAUUGUUGUUAACUUGACGUUAUGUUACUUUAUUUUUGCCAGUGCGUGUGACUUUGCUUUUAUUUUGUUUUACAAUUUUUACAAGUUAUAUUUGUAUAUUUGAUUAUUUAAUUAUUUUUUAUUUAAUAUUAUUAUUGGGCAAUGGCUAAGAUUUGUUAUAGUGCUUAUGUAAUUAUGUAAUGUCACAUUUAUAAUAUUCUUUAAUUAAAUUUAUAAUAAAAUUUUAACUAUAUAUAUAUAUAUAUAUAUAUAUAUUUUUUUUUUUACGGAUUUACAGAAGUAAAUCCAUAUCCAAUCCAUCGACUACGGAUUUUUAAAUUUUCAAUCCAUAUCCAAUCCACGAAUCCACGGAUCGGAUUUAUACGGAUCAAAUUUUCACAGAUCAGACGGAUUGAGCGGAUCAAAUUGAAUUCUGCACACCCCUACUCCUCCCCCCCGGGCGCCGCGGCCCAAAAAAAAAGUCUUACAGCUUACAACUACUCAUCAUAUGAGAAGAAGUUUUCUUCCGAUUUCAAAAUUUAUUUACUUCUGUCUAUAUCUCAAUCCGUUAAUACAUUUAAUUAUUUUCAAGAAAAACACACCCACCAAAUGAGGGUCUUAGGCGAAGUAUUACUGCCAUCAGCAGCAACAACAUUCAGCACACUACAUCCAAUUAUUUAGUGUCAACACCACCCAAAAAAUCUCUAAACCAGACAUACCAUGAGAGUGUAUGCAAAGAAAGUAAUUAACACUUAUGAUCCUCGAAACUAUUUGUUGUGCGAAUUGAAAAGUGAUCUUCAAGUUUCCCCUCAUAUUUUCGGAAAAUAUUAAACGUCACUCAACCACCAGCAUUCAACAGAAGAUUAUUCGUUGUAAUAGUUCAUGAAUAGAUGAGACUGCCAAAGAAAAAUUUCCAAUCAAUUCAAGGCAUUUCCAAGAAAAAGGAAAAAGAGGCAAAAUAGAAUCAUCCAAACAAUGUUUUCUUCUCCAUCUAACAAAAAUUGUUCCCAACAAUUCCCUACCUUCCCACAUCUCCCUGCUACUACUCUCCCUGUUUUACUUGUUUCUCCUUGCUGCUUCUGAUUUAUCCGAUUUACUGUAAUGGGUGGCUGGCAGGGACGUCGAGGGUAGUUCCGGCUUGAAUCUGGCCCCAGCCAAUAAGACGCCAGUGCUUCUCAACUCUUCGACUGAGCGCAAUCUUCUCCCCCCUACUGGUGCACACUGGAGAUGUAAGUUGGAGUUUUGCCAAAUCAUUCUUUACAGCAAGAACUCUAGCUCCGGUCGACAUAGAUCCUAUGUUCAGCAUAAGAAUCUCUUGUUUGGCAAGUUUGGAGACCUUUCCCUGCCUUUCUGAGCCCUUUGUCCUCACACCCAAAAGCCGGCGCAAUAGAAAGAAGUUCACCUGAAACAUCAGGCAUCACAAUUUUAAGCAUCAGUGGCUCUCCUCACAUGAGAAUCUUGUUUACCAAACCACAAUUUCUAUUGAGAUCUAUUUUCUACACAGAUAAACAAACAGAUAAGUUGAAACAUAAUAUCUCUAUAUAAGUAAAAUAACAUAUAUCCCAGAACAAGAGGUAAUUGUACGACAUGAUUAUUCCACUUGUAAAAAUCCAGCUGAGCACAUAAACAUAAUACCAUAUAUAAUCAAUCUAAAAUAUCAUAAAAAGCUUUUUACCUCAAGCUCGACAAAAACUUCAGGGAGUGACCCAACCUCCCCAAGAACCUGACCCACCAGUCUAUCCGCCCGUGUCAAAGUAGGAUCCAUGGUUGUACCAACCCCAAUGAGACCUCCUGGAACUGCAAAUUGUAACUCAUUUUGCUCAGCAAACAAUGAAACUAUUCUCGAGUAUAUAGGUGUGCACUUGAUGUUCCCGGACUCAUCUUUGACAACAAUACCGGGACGAACCUCAAUAAAUUGGUUCACCUUCAGAACACCCUGGCAAAAAAGGGGGGAAAAAAUCAGCUUGAGGGAAAAAAAUGUAUCAUCCAAGUUUUAAGCCAACUGGAAUCAUCAAUCAUUGAAACCAGAGUCGUGGACUGUUUGUGGGAACAUAACCUAUCCACCAUUAGAUCUUGCUAAAAAAAUUUUAUCACCAAUACAUCUUGUAGAUGUAUUCAUAAGCUAUAUUAAUUAGUUUAAUGCCCUAAUUUCUUUUUAAGAUUAGGAUUUUAUCAUCCAUACUACAGUUCACAGUCAAGUAUACAACAACCUAUAACAACAAGAAUACUCGGUAAGAAGAAUGGCUGUCAUAACUGGUUCGCUGAAAAAGAGACAUACCCUCAGGAUGCUGCCACCAGCAACACCACCUCUUAUAUCAUCAACCUCAAAACCAGGUUUAUUGACAUCAAAAGAUCGAAUUACAAUCAUAUUUGGUGGAUCAAUAAAGUUCCUCUCUGGAAUGGGAAUCUUUUUCACAAUAUAUUCGCAUACAACAUCAAUAUUGUACUUUAGCUGUGCAGAAAUGGGAACCACUGGUGCGCCAUCAGCAACAGUUCCCUGGUACAAAAAAUUGCAGGUUGAAAUUCAGUUGAAUAGCAUAGGAAAAUUGCACCAAAUGUAUACGCAUUAUAUACAAGCUGAAAUUAGGGAGAAAUUUUUCCAAUGAGAAUGGUCUGAGAAGAAACCUGGAUAAACUUCAUGAUAGCUUCAUGUUGGUUGAUGGCCACAUUUUCCUGAAUGAGAUCAACUUUAUUUUGAAGAAUUAUUAUAUGUUGGAGACGCAUGAUUUCAACAGCUGCCAAGUGCUCCGAUGUUUGUGGUUGCGGGCAACUUUCAUUGGCUGCUAUGAGAAGCAAUGCUCCAUCCAUAAUUGCUGCUCCAUUAAGCAUUGUAGCCAUAAGAAUAUCAUGACCCUGUCAACAGAAAGAUGUAGAAAACUUAUCAGCAUAAAUUGACCCCGGACAAUUUGCAUGAAAAAGGGGUAUGCAAUUUCUAAAUAUACAAACAUAAGAUAUAAGACAAUCAACUUGUUCUACUUAUAUUCCAAGACUAUGUUUCCACCUAAAAAGUACCAGUAAGGUCCAAGUCAGAUCAAGAACAUCACAAAGGGGAAGGCAACCAGAUGGCCAUUCAAGAAAGAUAUCAUUGUUAAUAUCCCCUCAUUAGUUUCCACUUAUUAAAAAGAUCCAAAGACAGGUUGAUCAAAACACAAAAACAGUAAACAUAACUCAUCCUUUUUUGAGUAUCUGGAAAAAUAUACAAACAUAAACAGACCCUGCCAAUCCAUGAAUACAUCAUCAAAUCAAUUUAUAUACUUUAAAAUCCAAGUCUCAAUAAUAUAUAUCAUAAUAAAAAAUCAUCAUUCACUUACCGGGCAAUCAACAAAAGAGACAUGCCUAAGCAAUUUCAUCCUGCAGUUCUCAAAACCAGGCACAUCGCACAGAGGAUUAUCUUCUUUCCCACUUCCAUAUGCCCUAAAAAAGAAGGCAAAUUACAUAUUAACAUGAAAUUCUGGAAAAUGACAUGACAAAAGAAUUGCAUCUGUUAUAAGCCACCUACUUAUAGCACAUUGGUCGUGGGCAACGAUCAUCUUCACAUUUGUAUAUCUUGGCAUUUGCAUAUCCAAGCUUGAUAGUAAUGUUACGCUCUAAUUCAUUCUUAAAACGAACAGUCUACAAAUAAAAGGCAAGGAUUAUGCAAAACCCAUUAGAUUAUGCACGCAAACAUCUUGUCAUAAAAAUUAAAGGAAUAUUUCAUAAUCUUGACAUAGACAAAGGCAUAUUAACUCAACCAAUCAUAUCUCGUAUUGCUUCCAUUAUGCUACUUGAGCCAACACAAGAUUGUCAUCUAUUGACUCUGAGUGAAACUAAAUCAGCCUGAAUCAAACAAACAAUUCAAGUAUUUUCCACCAAGUUUAUCAGAGGACCUUUAUAGAUUACUCAACCGAGACACAAAUCCCCAUAUGAGAGACUAAAAUGUAUACCGAGCAUGCCAUUGAAAGGAAAAUUACAAGCAGUAGAAACAAAGAAGCCACAAACCUGAACACCAGAUAUUGCCUUCACAACAGUUGAUUUGCCAUGGGCCACAUGACCGAUAGUUCCUGAAAAAAAAAAAAAAAGAAAUCCACCAACAAUCAAUUUCAAAUCCAAAACAGAACCCAAUCAAGAACAAUAACUAAAACUUAUUAAAUCCAGCUUUUGAAAUGAAAGUGUCAUAUUGCAAAGAUUUACUCAUGGGAAAGGGAACAUUACCAAUAUUAAUAGUAGCCUGGCGAGAAAUGACUUCAGGAGAAAGAGGAUGCAACUUAGUUACAUCCAACUUACUCAAGUCCUGUUCCAUCAAACCCUUCCGUGACAUCUUGCCUGUUUCUUUGAAAAUACCCCUCUCCUUAUUGUCUGUAUUGCCACUAGUAAUGUUCAAGCCCGUAAAACUGAAUGGCCAACAAUAUAGUACAUAAAGUUAUAUUAAUCAAUUAGGAUGAAGCAAUAAUAUAAAUUUGUAGCCAAACACCAUAAUUAAAUACACAAAAAACGAAUACAAAAGAAAAAAAGAACACCCACAAAAACCCUAAUGAACCAAGAUGCAUAGAAACCCUAAAUUCAACAAUGAAAUGAUAACCGGAACAAAUUGCUCGCCAAAAAUAAAAAAAUUGAAUAUUACAAAAAUAAUGAAAAAUAAACCGUAAUGAACAAGAUUCAUAAAGAAACGCAGAAUUCAACGAUAACAAAUAAAAAAAAGAACCAAUAAUUCGUGGGGGAAUAAUCAGGUGUCAGAGCUGAAUCUGCGAGUGAGAAAAGAAGAGCAGACGGUAAAAGAAGCGGACGUACCUGAUUGAAUGCAGAGCAAGUUGCGACCGGAGAACGACUGCGAGACCGAGAUUUGACUGAGGUUUACCGCUAUAUUGAUUGUGAGAGGGUGUGUGUGUGAGAGAGAAUUUUAGGUUUUGGGGGACUUCUUGCGAUCCCCGUGGGGUUACAUUUGUAAAUUUUUAUUGGAUUACAGCUGGCCUUAUUGGGUUAGGUUGUGCCCGACUGCCCAUGGGCCUUGUUACGCAUGGUAUUGCGCAAAGCAUAAUCCGAAGAGUGGAGCUAUUGGCACCCAUACAUUAUUCUUAAAAAACCUCACUUUAAAUAAAAUUAUAAUUAAGGAUACAUAUAGAUUUUUUUUUCCAGCAAAUUACUUAAUUCAUAAUCAAUCCUUUUAAAAAAAAUAUUUUAUAUGUUUCUUCCUAUCUAACUAAAAUAAAUUGUACAAAUUUAGAAUAAUAUAUUGUUCUCUUUUGAUUUUUUAUUGAUUAAAUAUUUUUAUAUUUAAAAUUGCUUUGAAAUUAUAAUUUGAAAUAUGUGUUAUUUCAGCCAAUAAUUAACACUAAAAACUUAUCACCCAUAUAACUUUUUAAUUUGUGUGUAGAGUAAUAAUAAAAUUGAAAAUAAUUAAAAAAUAACACAAUAAUACUUUGAGUUUUAACAAUAAAACAAAUCAAAUGAAAAUUGAGAACUUAGAAAAAUAUAUCUAAAAAAAAGGAUAUUUUCAAAAAUAAAAUGAAUAUAACUAAAAAAGGAGUUUUAUGAGGAGAUCAGAGGGGUGUCAAUAGUCUAACUCUAAUCCGAAUUGUAUUUGAUUAUAUUUGUACUUUCUUCAACCCCAAGAAUUAAAUUUGUUAUUUGCACUUACUUCGGCCCUAGUAGACCAAAUUAACGUUCUGUACUUGAAUAAAAUUUUGCUUUCUUCCAUCCCAAAAAGAAAAUUAAUUCGCAAUUUUAUUUCUCACGUGCAGUGGUAUUAGACAGGCUCGUUCAUUGGCUUUAUUUAAAAAUUAUGAUUCUUGCUCGCCAAGCAAUCCUAAAUCUCCCAAGAUCAAUUGAAGGAAUAAUCUACCUAGUUUUUAUAUUCUUAGCAAACAUAUUAAUUGCUCGAGAAACUUAGUCAAAUUGAACACUUUAAGCCCUUUGUUAAUUUUGAUAUCUGUUACUUAGAACUAAAGAUGGUAGUGUAAAUAAUACAGUGUUUAUACUUGAAAUGGGAAGUCAUUACCUUAAUGUCAUUUGCAUGGAAUGGCCAAUAUCCACCAACAAUAUAGCACAAUGCUUGAUAUAAAACCAAAAACCAAUACUAAUUAACGAAGAAUCUACAACAUAAAAAUGGAUUAAACAAAUUCUCUCAGUGGAUAUAAUUUCCGUUUUUUCCCUACAGAAGGGCUUCAGAAUCUGCUGCUAAUUUAUUCCAAAAGCAUUCCACUUAUCUUUUAUGUUUUGGCAGUUCGUUCAUUUAUACCUAUUUAUAUAUCUCCAGUUUUCCCAACAACUCAUGGGAAUUUAAUUAGCAGAGUACAUCGAAGAAGAAGUGGCAUCACCUCCACCACCACCACCAGCAGCUUCCUUCUGGUCACCAAAAAUUCGAUGCCGGAAGUCGGCAACCAUGAGAGGAAGCCCCUUCCGGAGGGUCACUCUUGGCUCCCACCCAAGAAGCUGUUUAGCCUUUGUAAUGUCUGGCUUCCUUUUAUGUGGAUCAUCCUCUGUGUUUGGCCUGAACUCUAUCCUUGCAUUUCGGUCUAUUAUCUCUUGCACGACCUGUGACAUUAUUAGUAUAUAUAUAAACUCGCAGAUUAAUGAUAUCAGUCGUGUGUAGUUGCGAAACGAUGGUCCAUAAAUGCAUUAAUGAACAGGAUAUAUACCUCAGCUAGUUCAAGCAUGGUGAAUUCACCAGGAUUGCCGAGAUUAAAAGGACCGACAUGAUCGCCCUCCAUUAGCCUUAUUAGGCCCUCAACCUGUAGAAGGUAGAUCGUGAAAAUAUAACACAAAGAGUUCUAUUCUUGUGGUCACCAUAAAUAACGUGCAUGUGUGUACUGACUAGCUACUCAGAGCAUGCAUAUAAUCUAGAGGACAUGACAGCCAAAAAGCCUCCCCCACAUAACGCAUUUACUGUGGUUUCAAGUACAAACACACAAUUUACUCCAGUAGAUACCAUUCUGUAGAGGUUUUCACAUAGUUUUUACUUGUUGGCAUCUCUUUCAACAUUUCAAACAAAAUGGUCUUUGUACAUGGUACAUAUAUACCAGUGGUCGCUGGUGAGAGGGAGAUGACACACCACAGUUCACAAAGCGGACACCAGCCAAAUAAUUGCACGGAUUGACAAUUACUUUUCACUAACAAAUGAAAAGCAACCUUAUCACGGGUAACCAACAACGUCCACAAUCACUUAUGAUCUUUCCCAACGAAUUGUUUAUAUCAAUGAGUGCUGUGUAUCUAGGGUCUGUGACAGUGUGACGUAUCAUUUUCUGCGGAUCAUAUAUAUAGAGGCAGAAAUAUCAAGUGAGGAAGCCAACAACACAUGUGGCGCAUACGAUCCCGUACUCUGUGAUAGUGUCGUCCGCCACAUGAGCUUAUUCUAAAUGAAGCUAGAUAUGAGUCCAUUACUAACGCUUUUUUGUCACUUACCAGGUCUGAAACGAAUUGGAAACUUCUAGUCUGUUUUCCAUCGCCAUAAACAGUCAAUGGCUCCUUCCUCAACGCCUGCACAAAUUUUCAAAUUUAUAUUUAAACAUGCAUGGAUAGUGCCUAGUGGGCAACUGCAUGCAUAAAUAUAUUAUUUAUAUCACAUAAAUUAUAGGGGGAAAAUUGCUCACUUGGGCGACAAAGUUGCUCACAACACGACCAUCAUCAAUGCACAUUCGUGGUCCAUAAGUGUUGAAAAUCCUAGCAAUCCUCGCCUGCAAAGCAAAACAAAUCAAAUACAAAUACAAAUACAGAAACAAAAGAAAAUCAAUUAUCUUAUUGAACAUUACAAGAUGCGUUACAUAUAUCUUUAAUAAUAAGGAACAGUACGUAACCUCAAUUCCAAGUCCUCGAUGAUAGUCCAUGGUCAAGGUCUCUGCUGUGCGCUUGCCCUCAUCAUAACAGCUUCUUACACCUGCCAAAAAGUCAAAUAAAAUGGAGGAAAUCCAAUGGGGAUGAUGAAAUCAAACGGUGGAGAGUUACUCACCGAUGGGGUUGACAUUGCCCCAGUAGGUCUCGGCCUGCGGAUGCUGUAAAGGGUCACCGUACACUUCACUAGUGCUUGUUAACAAGAACCGUGCCCCAACUCUUUUAGCUAGCCCUAACAUGUUGAGUGUCCCCACCACGUUCGUCUUGUUCACCCCCACCACACGCAAAAUAACAGUCAAAGGAAUUCAAACUUCAAACAAAUUAACAACAGGUUUCAACAAAAAUAAUAAACACAUUAAUUUUAAUUUAAUUUUUCUACAUGUUAAUGAAAAAGGAUAUGAUGGUCUUGACAGGAUUGAACUUGUAAUGAACAGGCGAGGCGGGGCAAGCAAGAUGGUAGAUCUGAUCAACUUCUAGAAGAAUUGGCUCCACGACGUCGUGUCGAAUGAGCUCGAACCGCGGGUUACCAAAAUGGUGAAUCAAGUUAUCCUUUUUACCGGUAAAAUAAUUAUCAACGACGAUGACGCUAUCACCUCUAUCCAUCAGACGGUCCACGAGGUGGCUCCCCACAAACCCGGCCCCACCCGUUACCAAAAUCCUCAAGCUCUUUCUUUGUAACCCCAAGGGCACUUUGCCACCCGCGUUUACGUGUUGUACCUCCGCAGCCUCGUAGAGGACACGGCGCCGACUCAGGUGGGUUGUCUCGGACGUCGUAAGAAGAGCCGGGUUGGCGAUUUGGUGUUGACGUAAGGGAAGUUUGCUGAAGAUGAGAGAUGAAAUGGCGAUGCCAAUGAAGAGAAAGAUGAGUCGUUGAGAACGAAGCAUGUACUGAACUGGGUUUCGGAAACUUUUAACUGAUUUCGAAGGCCUUGGUGAUGAAUCAAGGCCAAUAAUUUGGUCUUGUGUUUGGCUUGUUUGGCUUCUAUGGAUCAACUCAUGAGAACCCAUCUUUUGUUUUCCGAGCAGAAUGCUUAUAGUUCUAGAUUUUCUCGAGAAAAACUUGAAAGCCAAAGAGUUGUUAACGUCUGUAAUAACUCUGAUGGAUGUAGAGAGAGAGAGAGAAUUUUGCUUGAUUGGCACAGCAGCAGUAGUUGUGUUUCUGCAUGAAAUUAGGCCGCUUAAUUCCUCUUAUAGGGCCGUGCUUGUUGCUGUUCUUACGGUUUUGCAUUUAUGGUGCCAACUUUUAUGCAUUUUUGGAAUUCACUUUGCUUACUAUAAGGAGUUCAUGUGUGAGCAUGCAUUUACUUGGAAUUUUUUUUUUAAAAAUGUCCAAAAUUUGGUUACAUAUAUAUAUACACGCACCUGUUUUUAUUGUUUUUGUAGCCAAUAAUCAUUUUUGCAUAAUAAUGCCCAUACUUUCGGCAGUGGCAAUAAACAUUGUUAACUUUGCUUGUCGACUGCGGUAGUUAACUUGUCAUAACACUUUAAAACGAAAAAUUAAUUGGACAUUCUUCUAAUAGGACGUUCUUGUAAAUUAACCUUGAUUUCAGGUUAUUUUAGUAAACUUUUCAAAUAUUUUAGUUAUUUGAACCCACCAAAUUUGCAUCUACACUCAUUUUAAAAAAUAAAUUCAUUAUUAAAAAUUUAAAAUCUUAAAAUUAUCCUUCACUAACCUUUCUCUAUGUACCUCACUAUUACAUAGUCACUCUCUACUUUUACAUUCUACAAACUAAACUUUCAAUUUCAUUUUCUUUUGGAUUUUUUUUUUCAUUUCUUAGUAAACAUAAUCUCUAUUUCAUAUUUUUUAUAUAUAAGAUAUUUUUUUAAUAUUCAUUAACUUUCAUAACUGAAAAUUUUGAUAAUUUUUAUUUCUGAAUGAUGGAUUUUGAUCCUCAUAGUUUAUGACAACUUAUAACGAAACUAAUUAUUUGUUGUUUUGUAGUUUGCAAUUAAAAGAAAAUAUAUAAGGCAUUAAUGAGAGUUGAAGAAUUGAGAAUGAAAAGAGAAAGAAAUGGUUAAUUAAGUAAUUUCAUCAAAAAGUAUUUUAAUAAUAAAAUUGUUAACUUGAAAAAAAAAAGGUGUAGAGAGGAAAUUGGUGGGUUCAAAUAGUCUCACGCCUUACCCUAAUAUAAUAUAUGAGCAUUUUUUUGACAAAAGUUUGUUAAAGUAUGAUUAAUGGUACGAGAUAGAGAUAUUGAAUCCGUAUGGAAGUGUUCAUGUAUUAGCAUUACUUCAUAUUUAUCUCUAUAAAUUGAUUCUCACCUUCAUCUCAAGAUCUUAAAGCUCCCAAUUGACUGACUGUAAGAAGGUAGCAAAGGUAAUACCUUCAACGUACAUAGACUUUAAUUGUUGCGAAGACCGCACUUUGUCUACACUAAAGACCGAAAUCGGCGAAAAUGGAGGGAAGAGAAAGUAGGUAAAAGAUCACAAUAUUUCAACCGUCAAGGGUGGCAAUGAUACUGCGACUAGAGCCAAUGAGUGCACUAAUACUAGGGCGUCGGUUGCAAACCCACCUGCUAUAUUGUCUCGGAAGCAAAGGUUUGAUUGCCAGUGGAUUUAUGGACAAUGAGAAUUUUUGCUUGCUUUCGAAACAUUAGUAGUUUAAGCACUAUGAACCUGCAGAGACUAAAAGAUGCUUAAGAUAAAAGUUUCUGCUUUCAAGCGAUUACGGGGGCAGCAGCUAAUAUUUUAAUAAUUUUCACAUGAUCUCUAAUAAGCCAAAACAACUCAAAGAGCAGCCCAUUUUCACGAGGCAGGCAAGAUUUUUCAUCUUUUUAUCUUUGAACUCUCAUCCUAACCGGGGCAAGAACGUAAUCAUUUGUUAUUGAAGUGGCCCAACCGCAUCAUAUAGCUAAAUUAAUUUUACAUGUUAUUGAACACUAUGAGACAAUAUGAUACAUGACAAAAUCAAAGCAAGACUAUGGGUAGGAUGAGACUAGAAUCGCCGGAUAUCUUUUGGAGGCUUAAAGUUGAGGGGAUGAGUUUCCGGGGUGGCAGUUUCAUCUUCUCUCCACAUUUUGAUUGUCUUGUCAGCUUCACAUGUGACAAGUCUUGAACCAGUUACAUCAUAGGAGAGAGCAUAUAUACCCGCUUCACUGUCCAAUGAACCUGAAACAGAUAAUCAUUCGACAUUAGAAAUUUUCCCCAUUUUCAACAGCAGCCUUACAGCAAUAAAAAGAAUAAUUGUAAAUGAAUGAAUAAAUAAAAUUGGGUGAAUUCUGUAUAUACCAGGCUGUACAAUUGUUUGGGCUUGCUGGAAAUUGUGACCACUUUUCCAAUCCCAGAACCACAGACUCCCAUUGUCACCUUCAAUUACAUACAAGCAACCAAUUAGAACAUACACAUACAUGCCACAACGUCAGGCCUGAUAUCAUCACAAUUGAAUUCUGACUUUUAUAGAAUCAAAUGAGAAGCAUAUCAAAAGUGUAGCAAGUACAAACCUCCUGUAGCUAAGACACCCUCCUCAUUGACAGCCAUGGAGUUAAUGAUAGUUUUCUGCUGUGAGCUGCUCAAACGAACGUAGAGUUAGGAACUGAUAAAGAAACUAAGACAAUUCUAUGAUAUACAAUAAACAUACAUUAGGAGGUCUCUGGAUAAUGCAUCAUCAUGAUAUUCCAAGUGCAUUAAUUAAAAACAAUAAACUCAAAGCACAGUCUCAAAGCAAUACUAAGACAGAUGAGUAAUCUGAGUGUAAGUUUUAAGGAUUACAUUUCCCAAGGAAUAUAAAAACAAACACUGUUCUAGACAUUUAUCAGAGUAUAUAGCCAAGAAGAUUACUAACUAGAAAUUAUUAACUCAAACGUUUACUUCUCUGAAUUUUUAGACUACAGUUAUCAGUCAGAAUCUCAAUAUAGAAGUACCAAACAGAAGAGAAAGUAAAGGAGGGAAAGUUAAAAAAAGAACAAACCAAGAGUAUAUAUGCAGCGAAGGAAAGCAAAUCUCAUCUACAGUACAUAUUGAAAAUAUAGGUUGUUUGAGAACUUAGAACUUACAGCAUGUUGUGUAGAAACUCUCCCUUUGGAAGGUUGAAUUUCUUAAUAUUUUCAGCUGAUGCAGAAGCAAAGCAAUCCCUGGAAUAACAGAACAUAUUAAAGAAAAUUUAAAGACAUCAUACGUAGUUUAAGUACGAUACAAUCAAUCACGGCUCUCUGGCUUCAUAAAGGUAACUGAUAACAUGUCCGAGAACAUACUCUGUAGGAUGCAAAGCCAUUGCUCGCACAGAUUUCUUAUGGUGUGUGAGAGUUAGCAUCGUUUUCCCUACAAGAAAAAAGGAUUUGAAAUGUUAAUUUUCUAAUGCAAAAAAGAGGAAAACUAAUAACAAAAUGAAUAAAUAAGUAGCUACCAUAUCUAAGAUCCCAAAACUUAAUGGUUGAGUCGUGGGAGCCAGUAACAACUUGUGGAUCCUGGAAAUGAAAGAACCACACUAUAGUUUAACUAAAAAAAUAUUAUUAAUGGUCAUAAAUAGAUUAGAUUACGUAAUAAGAGCACCCUAUGUUCUCCCUUUGAAUAUGAAAGGCACAAUACAAUCAUGUCAUCCACAAAGAGCCAUUUCACUUUAAAGACCAAUUAACAUUCCUAUGUUUUGCUACAACCAUGGCAUAAUUGAGAAUCUUUCCAUCACAUUUGUUAUAUAAAGCAGAAUGUUUCAGUUAUACUUAAUCUGCAACUUCACAAUCUCUAGCAUGUGCAUGCAUACUCCUGAAAACGUCAAGUCUCAGGGUCUAAGCAAACAAACAAAUAGGAAACCCCAACUAGGAAACGAAACAAAACAAGCAGCAAUGAGAAUACAUAAAUAAACACCAGAAUCAUCUAAGACAAUUUUUUCUAACACCUGAACACAAAAAAUGUUCAUACCGUAGGUCGAGUGAAAACUGAGCAAACUGUAUUAUCAUGCCCAGCCAAUGCAAAGAUUUGCAUUUUUGUACGAAUAUCCCAGACCUGAAAAAGUGUUAUAACAUCAAAAGAUUACAACCAUUUUUCUAUACCACAUUCAGCAAAACUACAUACUCCAUUCAGCGAGCAACGAAUUGCACUCACAAUAAAAAUGUCAUAAAACAACGAUAAAAUUUAUACCCGGCAAACAGAAUCACGACCCCCUGUAAGCAAUAUGUCAAUGGUGGGAUGAAGACCCAAGCAGUAAACACCACUUAGAUGGCCAUGAUAAGACCGGAUAACCUGUAAAGCAGAUUAAAAAUUUCAACACUAAAAUCACUUGUAAAAUGGCUCAAAAAAUUAAUUUAACAGGAGUAUUUGAAGUUCUGACCUUAUUUUGUUCAAGAUCCCAGCAUUUAACUUGUUUAUCAUCACCGGCAGAGAACAUAUAAGUAUGUUUGCUGCUAACAGCAAGACCUGCAAAUGAAAGAAAAAAAAUGACCUCAGAAUUUUGUUCAUAAUUCAGAAAGUAUUAGCUAAAAGCAAUUUAUGACUGGUAAAAAUUUCCAGAAACUAACCUCGUACUUGUUCAAUAUGUCCUGUUAGUGUCAACUUUAGUGUUCCUUUUGCUACAUCCCAUAUCUGAUCAAGAAAACAAAUAUAUAAAUGGAAACAGUCAAGCUGGAUGUCCUAAGAUGAAGCAAUUAUUACAAUGUCAAGUUCAAACCAUUCACAGUUUUUCUGAUUUUCAAAAAGAAUGGCUGCAAUAAUUUAUCCAUUCUCAUAUGCAACGAAAAUCAAGCCUGCUUAACAGGUGAAUUUCAUCCGCAUUUUUAUCCACUAACAGAGGAUUAGAAAAAGAUUUAUGAUAAUUAUCAGAGUUUAUGGUGUGAAAAGAACAGAAAAGUGAAAAGAAAUCAAAUAGCAAUCGCAACAUUGAGAUGAGUUAAAUAUAGCACAAACAAGCCAAAUAUCUAAACAACACAUAACCAAAGAAACACAUAGAAGCUAACAGGAAAAUAGUUCAGAAAUCAGACAUGAAAAUGAAGAUUAAAGCUCAAACCUUAAUUGUACGAUCUGCAGAGCCAGUGCAAAACCAUGUAUUGCUAUGAUCAAAUGCAACAGAUCUUACCCAUCCCAAAUGGCCACUAAUGACCUACAAAGCAAAAUCAAUUUAAGCAAAUAUCAAAUAAAGUCUGUUGGCAAAUGAUUGAUAAAUUAGAAACACACAGGAACAUGUAUGCAUGCACACCCAGACACAAAUAAACCAGACAAAGGCUAGUGUCAAAUUUAAAACCAUUAGGGAAAGAUGAAAAAUCCGCCUAUGCAGACCUGUCAGGUGAUAAGCCAAAUUCAUUAGCAGGGAUAAGAAAAUGAACAUACUAAACAAAAACAAAUGAAAUCCCAUGUUUUCUCCCUUAAAUCUUAGCCACAAAUGAAUAGACAUGAUAUUCAUUUUUUCUCUUCAUCAAAUUUAUUCAAUGACCGUUAACACCAUUACAAUAGUGCCCUUCUAGAUUUCCAAUAAUGGAAUGGGAUUAAAGAAACAGAAAAUUGAAUGUGUCAAAAAAAUAUAUAUCAUGCAACUAUAAGGCUCAAAUUUCCCAGUUUCAGAUUGGUAAUAGAAUAAGUAGAGCAGACAAAAAAAUAACUGAAUGAACUUUUAAGCGUGUAGGGAAACCAUCUAACUAAAAUUUAUAUGAAUGGAAAGCUCAGAGUCAAAACUUAAAGGUAGCCAAAGUCCGAUCAAAACUUUUUUCUUCUCCCCCCCCCCUCCCCACAUUAAACACACACGCACACUACAUGAGACUCCAACCCGAGACCUAAGUCUUGGUAAGGCUGCCCACUACCCACUGGAGCUAGGCCUUGGUCUGAAGUUUGAUAAGAACUAUGAUUUGGCUCCGUUAAACAUCAUACACUACCUUUCAAUUUUAAAGCAGAUGAAGGUUCCAUGAGCAUGCCUAGAUAAAUGCAUAUUUUACUAAAAAUUUUACAACAAAGAUUAUCAUCAGAAAAGAAACAGUUAAAUAUGAUUUGGCUCCAUUAACCAUCAUACACUACCUUUCAAUUUUAGUGCAGAUGAAGGUGUCAUUCUAAAGUUUUACAAAAACGAUUAUCAUCAGAAAAGAAACCAAUUAAACCAAACAACUUGCAUGUGCACAAAGUAACAAAAGAAUAAACCGUGUCUUACUCUGUAGCACUUCCAUGGAGCAUGCCAUUCAGGACGUGGCCACUUGCUCGGGAUUCGUUCCAUUAUUGCAGAAGUUGAAAGAUUCCUAUGGAAAAGAAGAAAGAAAAGAAAGUAUGUUUAAACUUGAGAAUGGCCCGAUUAUCCAAGGUAGCACCAAUACUCAAAAUAGUAAGAGAUAUGUCAAGCAGUGCAUGGUUUCAGUUACUCAUAUAUCAUUAUAGCAGAAUGAAAGAAAGCACAACAAAGGAGAAAAUGAAAACCUUUCAGAUGAUGCAGAAGUAGAUACAAUGGCACUGCUUUUGCCUGAAGGACCAACAUUAUUUCUGCCAGAAACAUGAUAUUGAUUAAACCAAAGGCACAAAUAUGCUCAGCAGUGACAGGAUAAGAUAAACACACAUAAGAGACUGCUUUGUUAAGAAGUAAAAGCAUUGAAACAGAAGAGAAUACUCACAGUCCCUUAGGCUGCGCAGAUGGACCAACAACCAAAGCAUUUUGAGCACCUGCUUUCUGUGCAUCCCUCGAGCCUUCUGGCCCUAAAACAUAGUAAGUGCAAUAUUCUAAGCAAGGAUUCAAGGCACAUUGAAAUCAUAAUAGAUAACAUUUCUUUAUCACACUAAAAAACGCAGAAUUAACAACUCUAAAUUCUGAAUCAUCAAUUUCAUAUUAACAAAACCUGGAAGAGCAAGGACAUCUGAAGAUCCAGAUGGUUGAUUCCGAUGAGCUGUUGUAGUCGAAUUAACUUGACGCCUAGGUUCAUUGGUACUUUUAAUACCUCCAUACUCAAGAUUUAGCUAUAAAUUCAGUCAAAAUCCAAUACAUAAGCCACAAUACAAUCACAUUGUCAAAAAAAUUACCGGAACAAGCAAAAAAGGAAAACGAACUAAAUAUUUGAAAACUAUACUCAAAUUUCUCAUUAUAUAAGCACAACCAAUAUAUAAAUUAGACUAACCUUAUGGCUUAUGCGAAUUUUUUUACUGCAUGAACAAAAAAGAAAAACGGUAAGUUUGAACUGCGUUUUAGGAAAACGAAAACGGGAAAUGUAAAAGAAUGACAGCAAAGAAGAAAAAUUUAGGGUAUAGAACAGAACGGUGGUGACCUUUCAGGAUCGGGAGGAGGUAAGCGGCCGUGAGUAGGGCUAAAGAGAUCGAGGGCUCGCUUUUGGGAUUUGAGACUUAGCUUCUUUAGUGAUUGUGGCUCUACCGGCUCUAAAUCCAUUGCUGGUCCGGGCAUAUUCGCUUCUUCUUCUUCUUCUUCGACUUCUAGCAACCGCUAGCUAGGGCUUUAGACGAAAACUGGAACAGAUACAGCGAGCAAGACGGACAGAAAGAGAGAGCGCGAACCGCCUCCGGGUCAAAUUGUUUCGGUAAUUUGUUUUGCGAGAAUUUGUGGUUUUAAUAAUACGACUUCGUUUCUUUGCAUAGGCUUUAGCUGGUAAAGUGGGUGUGGGAUGGUCUGGAUCCGGUACCGCUUUACAAACAGUGAGACAAAAAUUACCGAAUUGUUUAAAAAAAAAAAAACACUUUGUAAUUUAAAAAAAAAAAUAGAGGUGGGUAAAAUCUAAAUUAUCUUUUUAUCUCUUGUCAUCACAAAAUUUAUAACUUGAGUAAUUAAAUAAAAUUAUUUAAAAAUCACUCUAUCAAAAUAUUGAAGACUAACACUUUAUAUUCAUAUUAGCUGUUUAUAAGUUAUUUAUAUUGAUACUUCAAAUAUUAAAAGUUUACAACUUGCACCAAUAUCUUGGUGCCAAAGGGUGAAGCUAAGCCACCAUUAAUUUACAAAUACAAAUUAAAUUAUUAUUAUUAUUGAAGGCUUAAAAUUUGUUUUACCACCGAACCAGUGGCUUAAGUGGCAAUGAGUCUCAAAUUCUAAAGCGCGCUAUGAAUGACUAUAGGUUAAAAAAUAUUAGCAAGAUUUAUAAUAAAUUGGAAGUAUAGUAUACGUUAAAAAGCUCAAUUUGCUCGCAAUUUUAGUUCAUAUUGCAUUAUGUAUAACAUAACUGAAUAUCCCAAUUUUGAAGUAAUAAUUCUAUUCUUCAAUUUCCAUCACGACUCCCACAAUCAUAUAAUGGAUUCAUUGCUCUUUUAUGCCUCAUGAAGCAGAGAUAAGGAGUAUUAUACCAAGUUGAAAUGCUAAUAAGACCAAAUAUGAUUCAAAACUAUGAUGGUAUUAUACACUAUUAUACACAGUAACAGUCUUUCAUCAGUUGCAUUGCUAUUUGAAUUCCACAAUAUAUAUAAUACAUAUAAGACACUUGGUGCCUUGAUGUUUUGCAUAACCGUCCCAAUGCUUCUUUUAUCCUGGCAAUAGCUGCCUAAACAGAACUCCAUUGACAAUAUAUGCCACUUUCUUGCUAAAGUGGGAUCCAGCCCUGUUGUUGAUCAGGAUCAUGGAAUUAGAGCAAAAUUAAAUAAAUUAAAUUAUAGUGGGAGAAGAAUUAAAUGAACAAACCUUGAUUAGUCCUGUCUCUGUACCGCACAAGACAAUGUCAUUGGCAGUGAGGAGACUUGUUAUCUUGCUUCCUGCUGAUAUUCUUCCCACUUUCUGUUGUGUUCCUCUCAACCAAAUCUAAUUAAACAGUAUACAUCCGGAGUUAAAAAAGUGCCAUCACUUGUCAAUUCAAAUUCUACACCUUAAACUCUUAAAAUGAUAGUUUUGGGGUGAAAAUUUUUGAUUUAAGUGGAUGUCUGGAAGACUGGAACUGAUAUGUUAAUAGUAUAAGUGUAUGGGUAAUUGUUAAUAUUAGCUGCCAAGUAUAAGUGUUUACUGGGCACUUUAGUUGUUGUGCUUCCAAAAUUAAGCAGAAGCAUUGCUGUUACAAAUUUGUCCUAAAUACCUGAAGGGAGCUUGCAGAAGAGUUGCAAUUCAAGUAUAUGAAGUCUUCCACUACCGUCAUUGCUUGUAUAGUCGUUCCUUUUUCAGGAGCUAUUGAUAUUUGAGGCUUUCUGUGUCUUCUCCAUUCCUGUGAUGUUUCUUUUUAUCAGUGGGAGGUUCUUAUGCGGUAUAUACAUUUAGAGUUCAUAUAUAGUUCAUAAAAAGUUCACAUACCUUAAUAUUUGAUCCUUCUACACUCGAACUUGCACUAUACAGCCAAUCUUUGUACACAACAAGUGAAUUGAUAGGUUUAGAUUGCAGCCUCCAACUUUUAAAUGGUGCUUUAAUCUCUCGCUCCACAUUAUUUGACACUGCUAACUCCUGCAAUGGUUUAUGCUUCAGUAUAUGUAAUGUACAUAGUCUUAAUUGUUGAUGUUAGAUUUUCCGCAAAGCAAGUGUUUAAGACCAAACCUGUAUACUUGAGUCCAUGCAACCAAUAUAAAUCUUUCCUUGAACAACACUCAUGGACUUAAUGCCUUUGCUUCUGUAGAUAUCUUUCAAGGUUCUGGAUGAAUCAAUAACCUGGAGAUGGAAACAACUCAAGUUAUAUUACUUCACCAAAAUUCUCAAAGAACCAGGCCAGUGUUAUCAUCAUUGCUUCUUAACAUUACUUUCAUUCUGUGGCCUUGUGUGAUUGCAAAUAUCGUUUUGCCAUAUGUGUCCAACUUUCGGAUGGGCUCUUUAGUUGCUAUAACUUCAAUGAGCUCUAAUUUCCUUUGGACCAUUUGCCAAACCUGCAAAAGGAAGAUCAAUUUCAAAGCAGACGGUUAAGAUUCUUCUGCUGCCAACAUAUGUGAACCAAAGAAAUUAGUUUCUACAAACAAAAAAUCUAACAUUCUACAUACCCCGAUGGUUUUAUCAGCAGACCCACUUAAGAGACUCUCUCCUGGUUCAAACAAAGAGAAACUUGUCACUGCCUUUCUGUGCUCCUUAACGUCCCAUACAAGCACGGCUGAUUGCUUCUUGAUGUCCCACAUCUGUGUAGUGACAAACACAUCAUAAUUUUGUUUUUCCAAUAAUACAACAAUGUUGGAUGAAAUUUUGUUUAAUAAUGCUUAAGUUGUGGCGUGACUAAAUGAAUAUUUGUAUACCUUUAUUGAACCAUCAGAGAACCCACUGCAAAGCAGUCCUUUAUAGUAGAUCAGAGCAGUCACAGCUCCACUGCAUUUGUGACUUGCCUCCAGAAUUUGAGUGUGGACGCAAGAAAUACGCUGCUCUUACCAUUGUAAGGAUAUGGUUUAGAAAGUGAACGAACUUUGUCACAGUAAUAAUUUCACAUCAAGACGUUUAAGGCUCUUAAAUACACACAGUAUGCUCUCACAUGAACUUAAACACCAUUAUCAAUUUUCUAUUGUACUAACCGAUAUGUUGGGCAGGUAAUAGUCAGCUGCUUUAUGUAAUUCCUCCGCCAUCCAGGUUACAUUCGAAAGGCGUCGCAGUGAUUCUCGCACUCCUUCUGAUGAACGAAUAAGCUUUUGCAUUCCUACACCAAGAAAAUGCAUCAGAAUAUGGCUUAAUCAGAUAGCACGCUUAGCUAUUAUGUUACUUGUGAUUGUGUAACAAUUCUUUCACAGUAAUGGCAUUACCUUUGCCAGAAGCAUAGUUGUAGAUGCACAGACAAGCUAAGAGUCUUUCUUCAAGCUCCAAUCCAGGAUGCAAAAAUUGUUCAACUCCAUCGAGUAAGAUUUGGCAUGCAGAAUGUCUUACACUAUUUGGACUUUUUGAAACUUCAAAACUAAGCCAUGCAAUUGUGGUGAGAGAGUCCCGACACACACUCUUUGUCUUACUCUUCAGUCCCUUCUCGAGAGCAUAAUAGAUGGGCUUCCCAAUUUCAAUAAUGCUCUUUGCAAUCUUGCUGCUCCAUGAGUCUACUCCUCUAUCCUACAAAAUGAAUGUCUUCAUUGUACAAUCACAUGUAAACGAUAAAUCAAUGCUAACAUUAGUUUCUUUUAGCAUCUUACCUGCAGGCUUUGAUCCAACCAGUCAAAGUUUCUUAUCAUGUUCUGUAGCCACGAUGAGUUUAAACCGGCCUUCUUCACAAGCCAAGCUACUGUGUAUGGCUCUCCUGUCCAAGAAAAUGUUCCGCCAAUGUUUGAUAGAAUGAAUGAAGAUAAUAGCUGCAUCGUCGAGCUUUCUUCAGAUGCUACUGCUUUGAGGAUUACCUGCAUUGCCUCUUCUGUGAACACACUUUUACCAGUUGUAUUUUCCUGCAUAUAGUCAUUGCCUAUUUUAUGUCAGUUGAAGCAUUCUCUAGUAUUUGGUAUGUAGUUUUAUUCAGUUUAUAUACACAUUUCAAAUUAAGCUUUUAAUGAAGUAACCUGUGGGAUAUUAUAGGCUACCAUAAUCAAGAAACUUACCAGUGUGUCUAACUGAAGCAACAAAUUUGCUGCCAAAAGUUGGUAAUCGGAUUGCAGUUGUUGAAGAGAAAGCUUUAAUAUGUGCAAAAUAUUAAUGUUUCCUUCUUUGUGUAUCCGUUGCAAUAGGUCUAUGGCUGAUGAUCUGGAGAAAAUGAUGAUUAAACCUAAGAAGGCCCUCAUAAUGUUCAAGUCCAGUGUCCUUACAACUAGAUUGAAUGCAUGUUAGAUCUACCUUAAAUUGUAGUUACUAUUCUCAUACCUUGGUAUGCGAAGGAUCUCAUGAAAGAAUUCAAGUGCUAUCAUAAUGGCGCGCUUCUCACCACUCUGUAGAAGGCAGGCCAGUGGAGCAACAGCAGUGAAUUCAGACAAAUAUUUUCUGCAUUGUCCAUCGAACUGUAUGCAUUUUACAAGAAUUGUGGCCAAAGAGAUUAGUUCUUCCAGAUUUUGAUGUCUUGCAACAUCUAGAAGGCCACAGAGGACUCGCGGAGAAUUUAUUGCAGCCAAAUGCAUGUUAUUUGUAGCAUAAUCAAAUGCAGUUACGAGUACUUCGAUAAUCAUCAGUGAUGCAGCAGGUGGUGUCAGCCGAACUGAUUCAAGCUUCCCUUUGUACAAUUUUGAAGUGCAUAUAACCUCCACCAAUGUCGGUAAGAGCUCUAAGGUCUUAAUUUCUGUAGGAGAUGGCUUUAUCAAGUAAAUAAGAAUAGCUGCCUCGGGCACAUUUCUUUUUAAAGCAGUUGCCAAAUCACUUAGCCUUAAACCCUUCUUCUUAAUGUCUUCUAUGACUGAUUCAUUUGCCAAAAUGAUAGUUGUUAAUAUAGAAACCGACGCUCUUAUCACUGUUUCCUCUUUGGAAGCUGAAAUGGCUGUUAGCAGUUGUUCCAAAAUCACAUCCUGCAACAUAUCAUAUUUCACUCCUGUUUUACUAUUCAGCAUCUUAUAAAGGGUUGUGACUUCUACAACAUAAUCUUUGUUGCAUUUCCUUAAAUCUCCUGAGAAACACAAGCUUGAAAUUGCUUUCUCAAUUAUUUCUAACAAUUCACUCUUCGCAUCCUUUUCCCCGUUUAAACAUUCUUCAUUGAAUUUCUUCCUGCCAGAUGAGUUGUUCUUUUUUCCUUCAGAGCUUCCUCGGAAGUCCAUUUCGGUAAACCUACAACUCUGCAGAGAUGAAGAUAGCACGCAAUCAGAGGGCUGGACUUUAUGCUGUUUUGAUAUCUUGCCCUCUACAUGGCAAGAACCAUUUGAUAUCUUGUCCCUGAGUUCCAGAAUGGAUAAGUUGAAAUGCCCGCUAGAACUUAAAAAUCUUCUAGAAAAAUUCCUAUUGCUGUUUGUUCCAUUUGAUUCUUUAUACAUUGGACGUUUGGGAGCUCGCAGGAAAGAAAUUUUUGCGGAUUCCGACCCUGAUGACGAGCAAUAAGCCUGCAGCUUUCUGCGUAGGUCGUUACCAUUGAAGGAAUCAGUAAAAUUUAAAUAUUAGUAUGGACAUUGUAGAGUUAGAUAUUCAUACAAAUGGUAUACGACUGAUUAUGAACUUAACUGAUCAAAAUUUUCUGGCCGUCGAUCAACUGCACUUGUUCCUUCGUUUGCUAUUAAACUUUUAACAAUCCCCAUGUUUGCCUGAAAGUACAAGAAAAAGGCAUGAACAUUGUAAUCAUAUUCUAAAUUACCAAAUCCUUAGCAAAUGGUCUUUUGGACAAUUACCUCAGAGUCACUUUCUUCCUCAAUUUCAGUAGAGCAUGAACCAACUGUAGUUGACCUGUCCGACUCAGACUCUUGCAGCAUAUCGUAGAGGCAUUUGGUGCUUGAUUUUUUUCUCAGCCCUGCAGUACGACGUUGCAACCUCGGUACUUCAUCCAAAUUUUUUAUAUCUUUACCAUAUUCUUGAAUUUCUGGAAUUUUUCGGCAUGCCUUUGUUCCGACUGUUGUGUCAUUAGUUACAUCUUCUUGAGGAUCAAGUGGAUGCACCUUUGCAUACAGCAUUAAUUUCUAUGGCAUCACACGAGAAAAUCAAUUUCUAGAGGCAACGAUUGUUUAAUCUAAUGUGUUAAUAUAAGAUUCUUUGCCACAAAAUCAAGUCAAAGGCAUACAUACAUUACUAGAAGUUUGCAAUUUUGGUACAUGUUCAAUUGAACUGGAAGAUUCAGACCUGCCGCGUAUCUCAUGCCUGUUCAUACACAUACACACUAAUUCUUAUUACAGCUUGCAGGAUCACUCACAGCCUCAAAAAAAAAAAUAAUUAAGCAGGUAUCCGUAAACAAUCAAUGGAUUAGUAUGAGCACCAAGAGGAAACUUACGUAUGAAAUUGAGCUUCCACACCAGAAGACGAAACCUCUCUGUAUCCACAGUGCCUCUGAGGAGUCUCUUCGUGCAGAAGGACUUGGUAAUACAUUAGCCAAUGUUUGUAUCUCCUUGCGAUCAGCCUCAUCGCGUCACUACCAUUCGUCUCAUCGGAUUCCAAUAUCUUCCUUCCACUCAUUGCUUGAAGUUUAGGCAACCCCAGUGAAGGAAAAAGACACUUACAAAGUUCUGGUGCAAAUUCUGUUCCAAUAAGCCUCGGAUAAACCGAUAAUGCUUGAAGAAAAUGCAGCGCCACUUGCAACUCAUCCUCUUGUAGCUUCUUAAUCACAGACAGAUAAAAGUAAGCGCAGGAAACCAAAUAACAAUUCGGGAUUCCAGAUGUGACUUCUUGCUCGUCAAGCAACGCCGGUGCCUGAAGCAGUCUCUCAGAGUUACAUAACCUACGAGCUUUCUCUUCAGGCCAUUCCGCUUGAAUUGCAGCUUCGAUGCUAUCUAUACCCCAGUAAAGAUUUGAUAAAAUCGAGUGCUCAGAGAAUUCAAAGAACUCCUUCCUUUUCAUGUUCAGCUUGGAGGCACAUCUCAAUUUUAAAGCGUGCCACCUUUCAACAUGUGUAAUGAAUUCAAGAAUGAACUCAUUGAUUGAAACUACAAGUGCCCGAAUGAUCUCGAGGCCCGGUGGUUUCUCAUGGUCAUGAUGGAAGCUUGAUGAAGAAGAAAUGGAAGCCAUUGAAUUGAUAGACAUAUUGGUGGUACAUAAGCAAGAAGAAAAGUAUUAAAUGCUAUAUAGCAGAUAAGAGAGAGAGAGAGAGAAUGAUAAUAUGUAAGUACUUGUACCAAAACCAAGUUCCCGUGACUGUUCCAGCCAAAUUCCAAAGAUGAUUGUCCCUCUAUUUCUUCCAUUGAAGCUACAGACAAAAUGUUGACCGUUGCUUCUGUUUGGGGAAGGAAAGAGAGGUAAAUAAUAAAACAAGCAAUGCUGCAUUCAUCUUCACGUGGUCUCUCUAUCAUAUCCCUUCUAAGCCUUUGUUUGUUUGUGAAUUGUGAGUCAUUUACUCUUUGCUAUUUUUUGCUCUCUAUUAUUUGCGAAACAAGUAGCUAUAUAGCUCUUGACAAAAUUUUCAAAGUCCAUGGAACCUCUUAAAUCAACUCCACUAAUACACAUGAAGAACUUAAAAGUGUGUAUUUAAAAAAAAAAAAGGUUAAUCAUAAGAACCUUUUUAUUUAACAUUGAAUAUAGUUAUAAAAUUGGGCAGCUAGAGUUAUAAUUCCGGAAUUCCCUCUUCAGAUGGGGAAGAAAAUGUGGUGACGGCAUGUUAUAGAAGUUACUGCCAUUUCCAGAAUAAUGCUUUGGGAGUUUGUAAGUAAGUAGUUUUAAGUAACAUCUUGCAUACAUUUGAGUUCUAUUCAUAUCUUUCGUUGCCUCGAGCUCUGUACUUACAAGGUGCAAAUUGACUUGUUAGAAAAGGCUUCAUGAGAAGAGCAGAACCCAUGAGUCCAUGACCAUCCCAUAAACAAUCAGUCAGAUUUGGCUUCAGCUUCACCCUACGUUAGUUUCCGAGGUGGAGUCUUUAUAUUUUUAGAAGCGGCAUGUGGGUCUGGCUCCGGCUGAGCCCCUUAGAUGGAGAGGUGGUACUAGUGAUGCUUUAAAUUAAUUACCCGUGUCUUUUGUUUGAUACGAUGGAGGCCAAUUUAUUAUAGCAUUUGUCGCCUGUCAUGAUAAUUACUUCACUUUCGUGAAGACGAAUAAGAAUUAAGAAUGCUCUCUUUUAUUUACGCAAUAAUACAGCAUCGCUUUCAUAAAUAGUGUUAAAAAUUAUAGGUAAGUUGGAGCUAACGUUUCGAAUUUUUUUUUUUUUUUUGGGUUGAUGUCCUUCAAAUUUUAUUUUUUAUAAUAUUAUAUAAUUUGAGGUGUCAAUAACAAAAAUUUAGAAAUUUCCCUAAAAAAAAAAGACCAAAGGUCAAUGAGCAAUGUAUUUUUAUUUUUAUAAUACAUUUUACAAGCAACAAUGUAUUGUAGAUAAUCCAAAUAUAUAAAGUCUUUUUAAUUCUUCUAAGAUAUGGUCUGUAAAACUCAAAGGUCAAUGAGCCUAAGAUUGAAACCUAUUUUAUAAAUGACAAAUGUAUUGUGCUGUAGAUCAUAUACAUGUAUUAUAAAGAUCUUUUUAACAAAUAAUGGAUUCUGAUUUGCAUAAUUGAAUGAUCAAACGUUUGAUGAUGCAUUGAGUGGGCGGGCCCUUGAUCCAGAUGGAAUGGACUCCUGUCUGUCACGGGUUCCGAUUGUCAUUGCAUGAUUGGAUUCUGAUUGCAUAAUUGAACGAUCAAACGCUUGUCAUCGCUGGAUCAACAUCACACGCACGCAACUAACAAAACAAAUAUUCAGAAAAAAAGAAAUAAAGAUCUUAAUACGUGUAAAUGAUCAAAUUACAUCUAUUAAUCUUGUGAUUGGAAAAUGACAAUCACGAAUGAUCACCUGUAUAACAUGGGCCCAGGUCUACGCCCUUCUUUAGAAGAAAUGUUCAAAUAAUCAGGACCCACAUCUAUGUCCUCCUUUACAAGGAACGUUCAUCAUAUGGCGUAUUAAGCAUGGCAUCAAUUGUUUGAUUGCAGCCUUAUUUGGCAUGUUCACUUUUGGACGCUGACAAGAAUUUUUGCGAAAAAUUAUGCAAUUGUAGUUGUACUGAUUAAGCACACCCGCUAGUUAGGACCAAUGGUAUUGGGCCAAGCCCAUAGAUGGGCGAACUUUAACCUAUAUUGGUCCUUCUGCGAGUUAAGACUGCAGUAGGGCUUUUGACACCCCUCAAAAUUUCUCAUAAAAACCCUUUUAUUGAAAUUGCCUAAAUAACUAAAAUUUAAAUUAAUUCAUUUUUAUUUUGAAUGGAAAUUCAAUUAAAGAUAUAAUAAAUCAUUCUUUUAAUUUUUUUUUUACACCGACCCGUUUCAUAAUUUAGAUUAUUAGUAUAGAUUUUAAUUAAACAUAUAUUUCUUGGAGAAAAUUAUUAGACUCUAGAAUUAUGGAUAUAAACUAUAUAAUAAAGAGAAAAUCAUUUCAGAUUUUAGGAUUUUUAUGUAUAUUUUGUAAAUUAAAAGAAAUACUCAUUUGAAGGUGAAAUUUUAUGUGACAAUUUUCUAUAUGGGUUUCUAUUUUUUUUUUAAAUUAAAGCAAAAAUAUGUAAAGAAAUAAUAUUCGAUAGGGGUGCUACAAGCAUUUUCGACGGGUGUAGAAAGCUCCACUCUUAACACUGCGUCUGUCUGGGUUUUAAGAGGUUUUAUUUACUUUUGAGCCCAAUUCGGACUUGAUUCUAUUUGCUUCCUCGACUCAAUUUUUAGAGUAUGCGAGGAAUUCGAUCUGCUGAAACCCGACCUAGCACAAGGGAUAGCUCCUUUUCAUUCACGCGAAAAGACGUUCGAUUUUUUUUUUUGUUUUUUUUUAAUGUAGAUUCAUUCUAUAGUAAGUCCAAAAAAUCGAAGUUGCACUAUAAAAGAAUUAUUUUGUCCCUACCAAAUAUGAGGCGACCCCAAAAAGAAAAAAUAACAAUAAUUAAUUUGUUCUCAUAAAUUUUUUUUAUUGUAAAUAUUAGUUUAUUAACGUAAUAUUACACUUACCAAAUAUCAUAAUUUGUUUCUUAUUCCAAGUGGAAUGACAUUAAUUCAAUGAAAGAGAUAUAUUAACUGAAAAUUUAAAGUUACGAAGGAAUAUAUUUCAACGAAUGAAUUAAAGUUCAUUUCUUGAGAUUGAUAAAUUGAAAUGCUGCUUAAAAGGUGUAAUCAUUUUGAAAAACUCUUGUUGCCACCGAAAGCACUUUAAUUUAUUUUUUCACCUGUGCUUUAGUGUUAUUUGGGAAAAAUAGGUGGAAAACAUUAAAGCAUUUGAGAGAAGCACUUGUGACAAAAAUAGUAUUUCCAAAAUUAUAAUUUAAAAAAAAAAAAAAACCUUAAAAGCACUUUAAUUUAUUUCUUCCAUUGUUUGCUUGCAUAAAACCAUUAUUAUGCUUUCUCAUCACAAUCCUUUGCUGCCUCAUGUUUCUUUAAUAAUAAUAUAUAUCUUAAUGGUUAGUAAUCAUUCAUAAUAGAUAAAAAUGAUUAGUUACAAGAUUCUCAUUGACUAAUGAAAAAUAAAAUUGAAAAUAUAUGUAUAUGUUUAAAUCCAACUCAAAUUCAUUCAUGUCUACUUCACUCCUCUACUCACUAAUACUUUGUACCAUAUUAGGUUUUAUCUCUACGUAAUGUAAAGUGUCUUCAUGUCACAAGUUUGACAAAAAUGCUUACCGCCCCAAAUUUUUAUUCUCAUUAACAUCAAAUGCUGCCGCGAAAGUUUCAUCAAUUCUUCUCCUCCUACACUCAACCUCACAAUUCAAGCGCCAUUUAUGUCGAUGUUCCCAUGCAGUCUAAAUACUUUUGGCCUUUCUUUCUCUUUCUAUUAAUCGAAACUUCCUAUGGAGUCAGCAUUGCGUCUGCUAGGCAAAUGGGUUUGCAGAAUUCUGAGGAUGCCCCGACGCACUUAAACUUUUUUCGAGCUGCAUUAAGAGGAAGGCAAAGGGUUUUAUCAUGUGCUCAUGAUCCUAAUGUCUGUUCGGAUCGCGAAAAGAACCCUUGGGGUGGCGACACGUGUUGCUUUCGACGGUUCUGUAAAGAUACGUUGAAAGAUUCAGAUAACUGCGGGGGUUGUGGCAAGGCUUGUGGUUACGGGCUUGUUUGUUGUGACGGAAAGUGUGUUGAUGUUCAGAAUGAUCCUCGGCAUUGUGGCUCUUGUUUUGAAGAGUGUCCUGGGAAGAACACAUGUGCUUAUGCAAUGUGUGAUUAUGGUGGCUGAUUGAUGAUGAUGAUGAUUGAUUCAUCAAUAAUAAACUCCUGUAAAAUUUAAGUUCACCCGUGAUGGCUCUGCCAAGAAUUUGGUGUCAGGUUUGUGUCAGUAUGUAUCAUGCAAAUAAGAAGUGUUGUGCUUCGAAAUUGUGUCGAUAUCUAUCAUCUGCUUUGCCCUUAUUCUCUUUGGAUGCAUGCAUUUCAUUCAAAUAAUUCGUGUCAAUGGAUCUUUGUAAAAGUCAAAUAUUUGUCUGAUUAUUUAUCGGAAAAGUUUGAACUUAAUGUGGGUGAUUCAUCUGAAAGGUUAAAAAUCCAUCACUGUAUCGAUAUGACUGUGCUACUGAUUAUUGAAAAGUUGGACUGCAGUGGAACAACUCUGUGAACCAAAGAGCUGUUUCCAAUUUUUUAUUGCAUGUACUUAAUUUUUCGUUACAAAUAUCAAAUUUUCAUUAUAUUAUAUUAGAAUAUUUUUAAAAAACUCUUCAAAAUAAGAUUUUAUUACUUUUUUAAAAAGUCGUAUCAGCAUUUAAUAUUCUAAAAAACACCUCAAUUAACAUUAUUUAAAUAAAAAAUGAUUAUUUCUCUUCAAUUUUAUAAAGUUACUUUCUCACUCUUCAAUUUAUAUUUCAUUACUUUGUAUUGGAGAGAGAGAGAGAGGGAGAAGUGUUUUAAUUACCAUUUAUUUUUCCUUUGAAAAAAUAUUUAUUUGAUUCAAAUCAUAUUAACUUUUUUAUAUUUAAAGUGCUUUUUAGAGAAUAAUAUAUUUUUUCACUCUCAUUUUUACCACAUGGGUAAACAAAUAAAUAUUUAAAGAAUAAAAUUAAUAAAGUCUUUUAAAGAUGCUCUUAGUAGUGCACCUCUUUGUUUUACCUUUUUUAUUUGUUGUCGGUAUAUAUUAAUAAUUUUUAAAAUUUUUAAUAUACACACAUGCACCAAUCAGGAAUUUUAAAAUGUGAAAAAAUUUGAAAAAAAACAUAUAAACCAUUAUUAUAUUUAUACACCUUAAAUUUUAAAACCUGUUAAACACGAUGGUUUAAUAGUUUUUUUCAACUUUAAAAUCUAGAAAACUACUAAUACAAACACACACGCACGCACGUAACAUCCUUGUGUUGAAGACUUUUUCUUGGCUACUUCGACGUGGGCUUUUCAAAUAUGAGACUUUUACUUGAUAGCGACGAUGCAACAACGUUAACGUCAUAUAAUUAAUUGUAUAUUUAAUAAAAAAAUUUAGGUUAAUUAAAACAUAAUGAUAUUCAAUAAUGCAUACACUAUGGGCAUUUAACAUUGCUUCCGGGUCUGUCUAAGCUAUGACAAAAUGAUUCUAAUAAACUUACUAUUCCCAGUUUAUUUUAUGAUAAAUUUCAAAUUUGUCAGUUUUUUUUUCUUUAUAUAUAUAUAUCUUCACUUCAUUAAGAUCUCAUCCUAUCGUUUAAAAAUUAUUUAAUUUAAAAUUUGAAUGAUACAAUUAUCAGUAGCAUUGUGAUACUAAAUUGAAUCAAGCCAUACAACUGUUGGUAUAACCAUGUCAUUAUGUCACUAAGCAAAUAUAAAAAUGUGAAUUCCAAGUUUUAGAUCCAAACUUGUCAGCGAUGGUGCAUGUAUUGUGAUUAUUAAAUGCAUUGAAGUAAUCAUGAAUCGACAGAUUACUGAAAUUAUAAAACUCCCCCUUUCUAAAGUAAAAGAUUACAUCACAAUAAUUCAUGAAAUGGAAUAAUGACCAAUAUUUUUUUCCUUUCUAAAGUAAAAGAUAUAUGGCUCUAUCUUUUUAUGUGCGAUCAAAUCAUUCCAUCACCAUCGGUUCAGUCUGGCCCCAAGCCCUAGCACUGCAAUUUGCAUCUCCAGCGCUUUUCUUUAGGAUAGCAAAAUGUAAAAUCUGUUCUUUACUUACGUUUCUCAUCGGUUUAAUUAUAUUUUUAAGUGACAUAUGUUUUGAUAAAUUUUAAAAAGUGACAUAAAUUUUAAAAGUAUUCGAUUAAGUGAUAUUUUGUUAACUUUUGCCAUUAACUUUAACAGAAUAGUCAAUUAGUUACAAAAAUAAUGUCUCUAUCCCUAAAAAUUAGUUAUAAAAUAAUAUUUGUAAAACCCUACAAUUAGUUACAAAUUGACAUUUAUGCCCUUACUCACUUAUUUUUAAUUUUUAGAUAAAAAAUAAAAAAUAAAAUCUAAAUCUUUUUUUUGGUUAAAUCAAACAUUUAUAAAAAAUCUUAUUGAAUCAAGUUAAUUUGUGAACAUAAAGAAGCAGAUCUCUUAUAAAUUAUAAAGCAUUAUAUAAAUCUAAUAUUUUUUUUUAUCUCUGUAGCUUUAUGAAAAAAAUAAGUUUAGUUUUUUUUUUUUAAUUUUACCCUUACUCUGUUAAAAUUAACGGUAAAAGUAAAUGUUGCAUGAUUGAGUAUUUUUAAAACAUAUGUUUUUUUUUUAAAUUUAUGAAAAUAUGAGUGACUAAAAAUAAUUGACCCUUUCUCAACAAUGUGGAGGCAGUACGCUCCCACAUGCCUUCAUGAUAUCUACAAGUCAAAAGUAUCCUUGAUGACUUUUGUUGACAAAAGCUGCCCGUCUUUUGUCACGCAACAGGGUCCAUAUUAGUAUAUCCAACGAUAAAUGUAUGCCAUGGCUAACUAGUCUUAUAAAGUAUUUGACUGUAAAUAUCAGUAAUUAUCUCGUAUAAUAUAAAUUAUUUUAGUUGAUAUUAGUAUAUCCAAUGAUAAAUGCAUGUCAUGACUAAUUAGUCUUAUAAAUUGUUUGUUUGAUUGUAAGUAUCAAUAAUUAUCUCGUAUAAUAUGAAUUGUUUUAAUUUAAUUGUAAUAUCAAUCUGAAAAAAAAAAAAGAAGAAGAAGGAAGCCCUCUAUUGCCAUCAUAAAAAAUGUGGAAUUUCAGAAUAGCACGAUUUGAUUAUAUUAAAUUGAUGGAUCGUGUCACAAACUGUCAUCUGUAUAUAAAUUAUUAGAAAUUUUGAAAUAAUACGGCAUCAUUUCUGAAAUCAUACGUGAAUCAAAACUGAAUUACAAGUACAAUCUUUUUUUUUUUUUGGGGGGGGCCUCGGGGGGUGUUUCGAGUAGAGAUGGCAAAACCCCGGGCCGGGUCCGGGUAUUGCCAUGACUGGACCCUGCCCGGAUGCAACCGGUCCGGGUCCGGGUCCGGGCCGGAUUUUAUAUUUUUUAAUAUUUUAUGUGUAUAUAUUUUUUAUUUUUUGGUAAUUUUAUAAGUUUUAAAUUUAUUUCAAUAAAAUUUGACAUGAAAAUAUAAACUUUAAGUAUUUAAAACUUUAUAUAUGUAUAAUAAAUAAGUCAAAUAAAUAUAAAAUAUUUAAAAUAAUAUAUAUUUUAUAAUUUUUUUAAAUAAAAUAUGGGUUCCGGGUUUAUCAAGUGAUGCCCAAGACCGACCCAGCUUCAUACCCGAGCCGGGUAUUACCCGGUCCGCAACACCCGGGUACGGUUCGGGUCCGGACCGAACGUGUAUUUUUGCCACUUCUAGUUUCGAGAGCAAAUACAAUCUACCAAGGAAUAACUGGGAAGCACCGUACUAGAAAUGACCUGGAAGAUUUCUAUACGCGCCUGAUGCCUCCACCAUCGAAAGAAAUAAAUAACUAUCCUUUAAUUACUUUUUUUUUUCUAAUUUUCAUAUUCCUUUAGUUACUUUUUAGUUCUAAUUUUCGUAUUCAAUUUCGUAUUAUAUACGAUGAACCAAAGUACUUUGAUUUUUUUUCUUUUUUUAAUGAACUGCAAUCCAUAGACAUUUACAAUUUAAAAAUUACUGAGAAGUUAAAUUUAUACACUAUAUAGUUCAAAUCAGAAAUCUACCACGGUUAAAAUUUACUGAAAAGUUGAUUUAAAAUUCAAAAUUCGACAGGACACCUACUACACCAAGAGCCCCGUACAUAUAGUAUUAGGAAAGAUCGACAGAUUUUUUAUAUUAAAAUUAAUAUAUGUCACUUAUUCCACAUUGUUUUAGUAAUAUCUAAAAAUCUAUUGACAUAAAAAAAAGGGAAAAGUGGGGCAAAUUAAUCAUUUUCUAAAUAAUUUCUCUUAAAAAUAUAAAAUAUAUUUAUUAAAAUAAAAAUAUGACAAAAAUAUCUUAUUAUUAUUAUUUUUUAUUCACAACAAAAUAUAUAUAUUUUUAUUUUUUAUAAUAAAUAUGAAUAAAAAUAUAUAUUUACAAAUAAAAGUAAUAUUAUAAAAUUACGUUAUCGGAGUUAUUUGACUAUAAUGAGAACAAUAAAGAUUAAGUGGUAAAUAUUAAUUUCAGUAGGGAAAAUUUGAUAAUCUCUCUAACAUUAUUAGUAGUCCAACGUCUCAAACCUUGCAGCAAUAACAAAAAUAAAUAAUUUUCAAAUUUUAAAAAUGUAAUCCGUAAUAAAUUAUGAAGAAAAUGUGCACACUGUAUGAACCAAAACCACACGAAACUUCAUUUGAAAGACUCCCAAGUCCCAAAGCCAAGCCUUUCUAGUUUCUUCUUCUAUGCAUAAAAUACGGACACCGAGUCACUUUUUAUCCCAACAGCGGGUUAAAAGAAAAAGAAAAAAGAAAAGAGAAAAGAAAAUAUAGUUUUAUUUUCUUCUACAGCCGCGUCCCCCCUUCCCCUUCUUUUAUUAACAAGCCAAGCUCACAUUUUCACUUCCACUUUCUCCCAACAAAAACACACACACGGCAAAAACACAAAACCUUUCACAAAGCAAAAGCAAUGAUAGAAGACAGGCCACACGGCGGCCCGCCCCACGGGGUGUUACUGGCAGUGGUCGUCGGCAUCGUGGUGCUGGUUCCGUUCAUCAUCGGCGACUCCGGCGAGGCCAUAACUGAGUUCAUAGCCGAGCUUUUGAGUCCGGUAGGGCUUCUCUUGCUCCCCAUCAUCUUGCUCCUCACGAUCCAAUUCCUCUCCUCCGAUCGCGGCUCCUUCGUCAACAGCAUUUUCUUCACCGGCGAGCCCGACACCAUUCACAGGGUCAGCGGGUCCCCCGUCGGCGUCGCGCUGUUUCUCGUUUUGAUCUUGUUCUUGCUCUACAACCGCGUUUCGAUCUUCGGCGGCGAUGACGACUCCGGUGAUUAGUUUUGUUUUGUUCACUUGGAUCUGUGGGUUUAAAAUGUGGUUUUUAUGUUUCUGUGUUCAUUUUAUGAUGUAUUUAGUUUUUGAUACUACGUAGAAAGUUCAUGGGGGGUUUUAAGGGAAGGGUUCCCUGUAAUUUCACGUAAAUACCCAGGUGUUGAAUGUUAUUUGUAGUAUUGGGAUAUAUUCACGUAAUGGAGACUGAGUUUUCUAAUAUUGAAUGACAUAACUGCCCCUGAUGAAUCCCGAUUUCUCAGUUGCUAAAUGUUUGUCGUGCUAGUGCUAGGGGUAUAAUCGUCUUUUAGAUGUGCAGCGGAGCCACCGUCGCUGACCGGCGUUUAAGUUUAACAAUGGUGCGGCUCUCUUUUCCGGCUUCUUUUCUUUUUGUCGUUUAUAGAGAUUCUUUUUGUGCCAUUUGUAUUAUAAUUAUUGUCUAUUGUACCUCGAUUUCUUUGCACUGGCACGUGGGCACGUGGAGCUCUGUUUCUUUUCAUGUUUUAAACCAUUACUUUGAUGACGUGGUGGCAAGUUUGCACGGUCAAAAGAAGACUAGAAGAGGGUUAGGGUAGCAUUCAAGUCAAGUAUUGAAAGUUCAAAAUCAAUGUACUGGCAAGUCUGGCAUGGAGUCUAAAGUAACUGGCGUGUGGGUGAAAAAGCAGCAGCGCGGUUGAACCUGAACCGUAAAGUGGUAUUACCGUGAAAAACUAGGGGCCCGUGACAAAUUGGCCACAAUCUGAAAUGAAUUUUUAAAUUGUUGUCCCCAUAGUAUUUAUGUAAUCUCAUAAAUAAUUUUUCAACCAAGAUAUCACCAUAUUAAAAUUAUAAAUAAGUUAAAAUUUUAAAAAUAAAAAAUUUUAUAUAUAUACCGCAAUACAACAUUUCAUUGUAAUGUAUAUUUUAUUUUAUAAUAUAUUCAACUUUUUUAUUUUUUAACUUAUCCUAACUUAAAUAUAGUUAGGAAUCAUUGAUUGAAAACUCAUUUCUCAUCAUGUAAUCGGCCAUUGCAUAGACAAACAUCAUAGGUUUUAUAAAAAUUAGAACUGACAAAAUGAGUCAUUAGGUUGUGUUCGUAUUACAUCAAAUUUUAUCUAACGCAAACACGAUCCAUUUAAUAAUUGUGUCCAAAUACUGAAUGCCAAACCCGACACAAAAAAAUAAUCCGAUGAUCCAACACACCUAUUUAAUAAUAAGAUAAACGUGUCAUCCAACAUGAUACAACAAGUAGCUCGCUUAAUACCUAUUUAACACGAUUUAGGUCAAACAUUGCACACCCAUUUUACACAAAUUGCACUCAUUUAUAUCUAAAUAGUAUUAUGUAUUGACAUUAUAAAAUAUACGUGUCUACCAAAAUAUAAUACAUUUAUACUAUGAAAGUUUAAAUAUAUUUUGAAUUUUACAAAAUGAAACACUAUAUAAAUAUUCAUCCUUUACCUAUAAAAAAAAAAUCAUGUCAAAUAUUUGAAUUUUGAUGACAAGAUUCUGCAAAUUAAUUUAGAAUUAAAAACAUAAGUAUAUUUAAAUACAAAUAUCAAUUAGCUUUAGUUGACUAUUUAAAAAUAAUUUCAUCAACCAAGCAAAUAGGUCAAGAAAUUAAAUCUAACCGAAAGGAAAAAAAAUCGUGUUGACUUUCACCACCCAAAUCUAUUUAUUCAUGUCAAGUAAAUAGAUUGUGUCAAAUUUUGCCAAGUUGAAUGAAAAUGAAAGACAUCCUGAACUAAGAGAAAGGAUUUUGUUUAGUUAUAAGCAGUUUAUACAUAACCAUCAGAUAAUUGUAUCAAAAGUUAGUUUAAGUAAACUGCAAGCAAAUUUAAGCUUACUUUAAGUAAACUGCAUGCCUCAUUACCUAAUCAAGGUGCUACCGGCCACCCUGAUUACGGUGAAAGAUCUUAAAGAACAAGAAUGUGCUAUUGAGCGAUCACAAAAUUUCAAUAUUCAUUGGAGGAUAGUAUCCUUCACCGGUUAACAUCUUUGGAUUAUAUAGUUUGCCAAGAUACAUAAAAGGAGCUUAAUGAAUCUAAUGUACUAAUAAGAUCACAAUACUGAGAUAUGACACAGAAUCUCAAUGAGAAGGAAACAAAGGCCCACAAUAAAAUCUAAAAGACUUCCAUCAAUCUAAAUAAAAUGUUGCAGUCUCAUUAUUUUUGCUAAACAUUCUCAGCCUCGUCCUAGGCAUAAAACAGAGAAGCUGUGAACAAAACUGCAGCACACUACCCUAAUCAUCAUAUUAUCCAAAUAGACAUGUAAUGGCAUGAAAUGGGUGUUUGAAAACCCUCAUUACCACUUUGGCAUAUGUUGAAAACCAGUCAGCCAUCAAGGGACCCCUUUGGCAGAGGAGUGUGUGGCUUUUGAGCCUUUUCGGGAAUGAAAAGCAACUGAUAGGCCUGGGUCACCUCUUUGGAACUCAACCCCACAACUUGUCUUAUCUACCAACCAUUUACCCUUGGAUCCAGGCUCAUCGUUCAUAUUUGGUCAAUUAACAUUUCCCAGAUUCUAGUCUUAUUACUCUGUUCAAUCAAGAAACAGUAAGUGUUAAUCCAAACAAUAAGAGUAAAUUUAAAAAAUAAGUUUGUAUUAUCAUGCCAACAAGAAAAGGACAUACAUAGACCCACGCAGUCCAAAGCCUGCUGAAAAUAAGGCAGUACACCAAGGAUUGACACAACACACAGCAGUAACCAAAAUUUCACCAUGUACCCAAUAGUAACUAUCUCUUUGAGAGCUAUGACCUACCUACAUUCUUCAUCAUAUAUCUGAGUUCAACUUUUCAAGUGAUUGUUCAUAUAAGGCAAGGAGAAAAUCAGCCAUUCUACGCUAAUUGAUUUGUUAGUUCUCAUUUGGGAUCAAAAGCAACCUCAUUGUAAGUUAUAGAUUUGCUAUGACCAACAUACAUUCUUCAUCAUAUAAUUGAGUUCAAGUGACCAUUCAUAGCAAAGCCAAGAGAAAAUCCCCAUUCUACAUUAACUGCUAGUUUAUUUCUCAUUUGGAAUCUAAAGAACAACCUUAUUACAAAAAUAGCCUGGUUUUUCUGCCAAGAGAACAAAUGCCAAAGUAAGGCAAUUCAAAAGCUUGUUUUCCCUCUUGCCAAUUGCCUUACAAUAUGGUGAGGGUGGCAUCAGUCUCCAAAUUUAGAGAACAGAUAAACUAGUAUCAACUAAUAAAAUUGGUUAGUUGCACCAAAAAAACUUUAAAACACGUAUUUUGUAUGAAACUAGAAGGAAAAUCAGGUACUGCUUCGCAUCUCCUUCCUACACCAACCGAACACCUACUAUUUGGAUUUAUGGAGAUAUUCAGCAUCAUUGCACUGAGUUCACACAAUAGAAUUAUAUAUGCAAAGGAUCUUACCUUCAUGCUAGUCCAGAUUUUCUAGUUUAUUACAAUGAGGUGUUGGCAGAUUCUUAUUCCAACGACGCUUCUGGAGCUCUACAUGGCAAUACCGCCAAAGCAAAUUUCUGUAAUCCUUGAUCACAUUGUCCUCAAUAACAGCACGAGCAGAACUACCAUGAGGAAAGUUCUCAUCAAAUGAUGAUGGUGAUUUGACAUAAAAUUCUAUUCCAUGCUUUUCAGUUGUCCUAGGAAUCUGAUAAUUAAAAUUCCGAUGCAAAGAGUAGUCUGGCUCAGAAUAGGGAAGGUAAGCAAGCAAGAAUAUCAACAAAAAUGGCAAUAUCUGAAGAAGGAACACAAAAUUAAGUCCAGCUCCAUGAAACUCCUCCCUCUCUUGGCUUCUCAUCCCUCUAGUUCUAUAAACACGAGUUGUUCGAAACAUAUCUUGUUGACCAAAGAAUGACCUGAAUAUCUCAUCAGGAUCUAAUUCAUCAUCAAAAAAGUCAUGCUGAGCUCUUCUCCUCCUUGGCCUAACGUUAUGCCGCUGGUUAUGCUCAAAUUCAUCAACCAAACCUACAUGAUCAUAAUGCCUUCUUGAAUCAUCAUCACUCAAGCACUUAAAUGCCUUGCACACUUUCUUAAACGCUUCUUCCGAACCAGGAGCCUUAUUCUUAUCUGGGUGAACUUUCAAAGAGAGUUUCCUAUAUGCCUUCCUAAUCUCCUCAACCGAACAACUUCUCUCCACACCAAGAAUCGCAUAAUAGUCCUUGUUCCUCUUAAUCUGCCUAAUCAACUCAACAUGUUCUUCCGUAUAACUCCUCUCCCCACUCAAACCCUCACCAAGUUUCUCCAAACCAGGCUUACUCCUUUGAUCAUCUAACCGCUUCUCAUCAGCAGAAGACACAUUUGGCCCGGAGUCACCCACACCAAGCUUCUCACAAGCAGCCAAAACCUCAUGAACAGACAAAUUAUCGUUCAGCCGUUGCGCAAUUUUGAUAAAUUUCAACGCCCGUUGUCUUUUACCGGACGCAAUCGCUUCUUCAGCGAUACGAAUGCAUCUCAAAGCCUCAUCUUUGUUACCAUCCAUAAUUCACCCAGUGCUUGCUUCAAGACAUUCCAAUCAAUUACUCAGUUCUAUCAGAAUUAAAGGUAAAGCAAAAUUAAUACUUCAUAUUUUUAAAAUAUUAUGCGAAUAUAUUAAUAGAACGAUAAUACAAUAAAUCCAAGCAUGUAAUUUCGAGAAUUUAGGUUAAUGAUAAAUAGAAUUAGCAUGAGAUUAAGACAAUUCAAUAACAGAAAUGAGAUUUACCUGAUACAGAUAUCGAAUCGAAGUGUCGUAACAGAGAGAGGAUUCAGGAGAAGCGGAGCGCAAGGAGAUGCGACGCGAAUUAUGUAUUUGGUUGGUAUGCCACGUCAUCAGCGAUUUUGGUCAUGCUUCAAAUAGGAGCAUGCCACGUCAGAGUGCGAACCGGUUAAAUCGUCUCUUCAGUAUUGUUCUUGGAUUUGACUAAAUUAUGCAAACAUCAUUUUCCAAUAACUGGACUAAUCCGAAAAAGGAAAAGUAUACUAAAAAAUAUUUAUUUUUCUACAAUUGUUAUUUUCAGUAAUUUACAGAAAUCGUCGGCAUAAGAGUUCAUUGAAAGAAAUAAUUUUUUUUUUCUUACUUUAAUAGCUUAGGAGGAUCAUUUUGAAUAAUAAUUCGAGGGAAAAUGGUAGGCCAAGUUGAUGCAAAUCAAUCACAGUUCAACGUAUAUAUGAUCCAAAAUUGUUUAUUAAAAUUAUUAAUGAAUCAGAAAUGUGUCCUACUGUCUAAUUAACAACAAUUAGAGUUUUAAAACAUUACAUUUUUUGGUUUUUAAAAUCCAGUAACUUAACACAUUAUACAUGUGUCAGUGUUAGUAUAUACACAACACGAGCGCAUUUAGUUAGGCUUAUGCCCAGAUAUGAAAAUAAAAAUAAAAACAAAAUUUACAAAGACAUCAGUUGUCAUCAUCUGAAUCAAAAGCCUUUCUACUUCUCAAAGAUUCCAAGAUAUCUAAAGGCCGAUCAUUUCGAGCAUGGCUUCCUCCUUGGGUAGUCUUGAGUUUAGGCACACUCAUGGAACUGAGUGGUGGUGUGUUUGUGUGAGCUUCCUUGAGCACAGACCGAGCAGUGGCUGCUGCAGCAGCUUGAGCUGCAUGAUCUGUCUUGGCUGAUUCGUACUUCUGCAUAUCAUAAAUGAGUUCUUUUUGAAGCAGUUUAUCAGCAACCAAUAUGUCAUCAAUCUCAUUUUUGUAGUCUUUGAGGAUAAUUCUCAGGCAUUCCAUUAGUGAGCCUGUGAGGGGACUGUUCUUGCUCUCUAGUAGUCUUUUAAGUUCUAUGAAGAUGGGGAUGGUGUUUUGGAUUAGCCCUUUUCUUACUGCUUGUGUAAUAGCUCUUCCUUUAGCAGCAGCUGCUGAUGCUCCAGCUUCUCCAGCUUCUUCCUCUAUUUCUGCAGUCGCAGAUGCUGACCCUCGGGCGGGAGUAAUCCGAAUCUCUUUGCAGGCAAGAAUUUGGAAAGCAUCCUGCUUGGAAACAGGACAUAAACACUUGCUUUCAUUUUGUUACAUAACAUUUGCUUACUUGCAGUUUAUGACUGUACAAGGGAUUAGUACCUGUAGAACGGAUUGCCCAGUAACAUCUUCAAUAUUGAGCAUGCCAUCCGAGACUGAAGCAAGAAUCUCUGCACAUAACUUUGCAAAUGUGGCUAAAAGGUGCUCUGGAGCCAUUUGCUUCAGCAAAGAGACAUAGAUGUGCAUUCUUUUAGACCUGGACCGUUCAUCAUUUCCCCUGAAAAGAAUGAUACAUGCAUGGUAACGACUGAGCAUCUCAGCAGCAGAGCUACCUAGUUGCUAAAUAUAAUGACAUCUACCUGAUGGAAAACAAUUGACGUUCAGUUCGUGAACCCUUGGAAUCAUUGUGACCGGCAUGGGCAUGGCAAUCAUUCAGGACAAAAAUGGCUUCCACAAAACUGUUGUAAGCUAGAAGUGGAGCCUUGGCUGCAAUCACGUUGUACACAAUGAUCAGAGCCCAGAUAACAUACAUCAACAAUCUCUAUGACAGAGCGAAUCUGAUAUGUCGAGAAUAUAACCUUUUAGGAUGUUCCCAAAUAGAAAAUCAGCAAGUUGUCUUAUCUUUUCUGAUUCAUCAACCAACGACAAAAGAAAACGAAGGAAUAGCACCCCCCUCCAUUUCACAUAGUCCCUCUGAACAUGAAAAUUUUACAAUAAUUAGAAAAGUUUUCUGUAUUCUUAUUGAUCUUCAAAUGGAAAUGUGAGAAUAAUAACCAAACGAAAUAACAGAAAUUUACCUGUAACAAUCUUGAAAGCAGAAUAAAUGUCUGCCUUCUUACUAGUUCACAUGGAUCACGGAGACACAGAGAGAUCUUCGCCAUGUAGCUGUCAACUUCAAGAAUUACUAAUCAGAAUAGCACAGAGAUUAUUAUACUCUUUCUAAAAAAUUUAACCAAUCCUCAAUAGUUUAAAUAUCAGCACAGUUCUUUUCUAUUAACUUUCUACAGGCCUCACCAAUCAACCAGAGCAGUAUAGCGAACACAAAAAUCUGCCAUCAUUACUACAAGAUUAUUGCGAAGGGCUGCACAAUCACUCUUUUCAAGCUCCUACAAGAACACGUGAAUAGUAAGCAUUUUAAAUAUAGUGUCGAAUUUGUGGUUUAAGAAAUUGAGUAUCGUUUUUAUGAGUUGUUUAUGAGAGUCAUCUAAGACUUGGAUAAAUGCAAUGAUAAGAUGAUGAAAAAACCUUCACAAACAACGGAAUAUAUCUCUUUGCGAGUUUGUCAUCUGCCAGGCAUAACUUCCCCAUUGUCAACCAUGCUUGAAUAUAAAAUGAAGGAGCAAUCUGUUUCAGAGAGACUGUAGGCCCUGGUAAUUUAUUCAACUUUGGAUCAGAACUUCCCGAAGCUAUGAUUGUGUGUAAUAGUGGAGUAAUGGAGCUCAAAUCAACAGUGGGACAAACAAUAAUCAAAGAGCCAAUAGUAUAAACUGCAGUGACUGCUUCUGACAAUGAUCUCGAUAACGCCACUGCUUUCUUGCCCCUUCUGUUGCUUCUAGGUGGUGUAAAGAAACUAUUACCAUUAUUGGCUUCUGAAAUGUUUGAAAUGUACUUUUCUAAAAUUAGUGAAGCUUUCGAGAGAAUCUGUUUUACCCAUUUCAAAACAAGCAUAUCAGCUUCCUCAUGAUUUGAAGCCUUUCGUUUGCAUAAUGUUCUAAGAGCUUUUACAUGAGCGUUAACCUGCCAUAAAAGAUUCUUAUGUGUAAAUUGGUCAAAUACACAAACUAAGCACAGGAGAAAACAAUAUAUCCCAUUACUUGGCUGGCCCUAUGAAAGUAGCACUAUGACCAUCAAGCCAUGCUAGUGGCAAUAUAGUAUAUAACUCAAUACUAGAGCUAAUAGAUAAUAAAACUAGAGAAGCAAAGCUGCUCCUAUCACCCGGUCAAAGUACCAAAAUAGUUUAUACCUCUGUUGGAUGCAUGUUGAAUCCUUCAAUCUGCUUAAGCAAGUUAUGAGCUAAAUCAGCAGCAGGUUCAGGGGGCAGCUCCACAGAAACAUUGGAGAUUGUUUGAAGGAGAUAAACACGAUCGCCAGCCCAUGAAACAGAAUUGGAUACUAUCCCCUCUGUAUCUUCAUGGUCAUAUCUUGGUGCAAGUGGGCUUUUAAAGUCACCUUGUGAUCCAUACUUGUCAAGUAGCUGCCAAUGGUGAUGAAGGAAUUCCCAGUCCACUGCUUUUGGAAGAUAUGCUGACACCUCUGAUAGAAGGAGCCAAGCACCCGGUGGUGCUGUCCACCUUUUGAUUGACACGUGAUGGCUCAACCAGAUAGCUUCAGAUGAUCUUAUAAUAUUCUGAAGUGCAAGUGCAAUAUUGGGCUUCAGUCUUUUCUUCUUCCCCAGGCUGGUGCAGAUUUUCUUCACCCAAGGCGACACCUCUCCAUUACAGAUCUCUUUCAAAAGAGGCAAAACCCCUUCAGGGACUUCUAAACUUUUCCCUUUCACAUUCAAGUUGUAUUGAAUGGAUCCAGCAGCUGCAGAUCUUGAUAUCCGGUCCAAUACCAGCUCAAGGAACAGGUUCUCACAUUCUUCUUGAAUGCUAGACUCAUUGUCAGUUAUUAAACGGGGAAUGGAAUGAAGCCACUCAACCGUAAGACUUUCAUCAGAAAAUGUUCUGAAUGCCUACAAAGUCAAUAAGGAUCUAGAAUGAGAUUUAGAGAUAUAUAUUAGAAGACGUGAGAAAGAAAAGAGAAACCUUUUAGCUGGAUAAGAAAACCAUGGAAACUCAUCGAGAAGAGCUGUUUCAGCGGAUCUUAAAUAAUACUAAUCAUGCCGUUUUCAAAAAUAAAAUAUUACUAUUAACCAACAAACAAAACCACUUGUUUCAGAAAAAAAAAUAAUAUUAGUAAUCUACCUGUUUAAAGAAAGGGUUAAAUGAUUGAAAAACAAGACGUGGAAAAGAUGAGGGAAACUCCCAAAAUAAUAAUAAUAAUAACAAUAAUAACAACUUGAAAAAGCCAGAGCUGAGAAUUGCAAGUAGUUGUAGAUAAUCAUGAUCUACUCAGCUUUUACAAGGCAUCAGAAGCCAAUACCAUCUCAUAUAUACACCUUUCUAUUGGACAACUAAGCAAAAUUACUUAAAUGAGGAAACUUUAAAUUUACAUAAAGCUAAACAAAAGACUAACCUCUGAAAGAGCAGAAAUUGCUGCUUUCCUAAUGCUAACAAGUGGAUCAGAACAAGACAUGCCAAUUGUCUUGAGCAAAAUCCCAUCAACAGAGCCAUCAAAAAGACCUAUCAACUUGCUAACUAGAAGAAGUGCUGCCUUUUUAACAAUUGCCUUCUCAUCCAUACAUCUUUUCUUUAAAAGGUCAUUCAUUUGACCGUCUCCAAACUUCAGUAGUUUCUUCAAAAUCACCCUAUUCCUAUCAUCACUUGACAAAAACCCCACCAACUGCGCCAAAUUUGACAAAGCUCGAGCUCGAAUUACAGCACUAGAAUCUGAGCAACGCUCAAUUAAAGCCUCCAAACAACUCAAACCCCAGGAGUGACUAUCUUCACAGUCCAGCUCCACUCCCAAUGGAUCUCUCAUCGACGUCAUUAGCAUUAAUAUCAGAUCAACUGCAACUAGCCUAAGAUUAGCCUUACCUUUAGUCAGCUUAACAGUAUAUUCAACAAACCCCAUUUGAUCCUCAAGCUCCAUUGCUUUAACAAUCUCCAUAAUUGCCUCCACAGCUAAUCCCCUCAGCUCAGCCUUCUCCGGGGCCUUGUUCACCAAGUACUUCGGCAAAUUCACAACUGCCUUCCUGACCCCGUCGCUCUCUUUAGACACACCCAUCACUCCAUUCAUCAAAAAUCCUAAUGCAAAACUCCUCGCUUGACAUUUGCCCAUCAAAAUCAAUGGCACUAACGACUUCAAAACCUCUGCAGCUGUACUCAUCACAUCACCAUGCUCCCCCCUCAACAACUUAAUCAAAAUCCCUGAACACAAAACAUUUAAUUUCUCAUAACCUCCCAAUUCAAGCAAUGAAACCGGAAUCUCAACAACAGUCUGUAUCAAAGACUUCAAACAAUCCGGAAACCUAUUCAAAUAAACCAACUCCACAACAAAUUCCAACUUCUCAACAACCAAACACAAACUCCUAGCAUCAAAUCCACCCUCGCUCUCAUCCUCGUUAAAUUCAUUCGCCCGCUGAACCCGCCUGCCACCACCUUUUCUUUUGUGGUUAACACUAGGGUGGGACCCGCUAUCAGACACGUGCUUAAAACUCUUGAGGGAGCUGCGAAUGGAGCGGAGAAGGGAGAGGAACGCCAUGGGAGUGAACAGAGUGAAGACAGGGGAGUUCGGGGAGAGAAGCAAUGAAAGGUAAAUUUUGGAGGCCAAGAGGGAGAGAUUGUUGGGGCCCACAUCCAUGGCGCAGGAAAUUGGAGGAAUGAGAGAGGAUAAAGAGAGUUUUUUGGAGGAGAGUUGAUCGGUGAAUCGGUAAAGGGUGUCUGGGUCAUUUGAUUGUAAGAGGGAUUCGAGUUCGAGGAGAGUGGAAUGAGAAAUGGGUGUCGUUUGAUUUUGACUUAGGGUUUCUUCGAAAUCAGUGAUGAUUCUUGCUAUGAUUGCUUCUUCUUCUUCUGCCAUUGUUGUGGGUGUUGUUUGGAUUUGGCAAACUGGUUGGGAGACGGGGGAUUCUGCUAUUAACAAAAUGUUUCGAAUUUUGGGUUUUCCCGCCUAAACGGUGGAUUUUGACUAUCUGAAGACCAAAAACGCCGUCGUACUUAAAAAGUGACUUCGGGUCAGGGGACAGGCGUAUUCCCCGCCCCCAAAUAUCGAAAAUUUGACAAAUUGAACCCAAUAUUUCAGGACUAUCCAACUAGACCCCUCCACUACUAUCCUUUUACAUUCGGUCCACCCUGAAAGUUGACACCAUCGGAACUUUUAGAUCUCCUCGAGGAGAUUGGUAGUCUAGCAAGUAGCUACCGAGCAAGCAACAGGGGAUUACUAACAGAAAUUACUGAUGGAGGUUCUCUUGGGUAUUUUAGAAAACCACACUGGCAGCUGCUGCCACAGUGUCUAUUCACUACCUGUAAAAUAAAGAAAAUGAUCAAAGAACUGAAUCUCCCCAAGUAGUAUGAGAUCCACACACAAAUCUAUGUGUCAAAUUCAACUAUUUCAUCCGAGAAUCCAGCUAUUGCUAGCCAGGCAGCAGAUUUUCCAGAAAAAUAAAAAUUAAACACACCCCCAAGCAAAGAUCAAAUUUAUCUAAUAAGUUUAGAGAGCUUGUGCAUAAACCAAAUUAAUCACAAAGUCAUAAAUGCAACUGAUAAAUGGUCCCAGUUUGCCAGGGCCAAAAACAAACUCCAGGCCCUCAUUAUAUCAAGCAAAAUAGCAAUGUUUUUGCAGCUGCUGUUCAAUUAUUCAAGCACCUCAGCCUGCGGGUUCAAUUAUUGAAGGAUAUAGUUUGGUUUCAUGGAAUAUUAAAAACAUGCUUAUACUGCAUGAUUUUCAGCCAGCUGCAUGAUAUGCCAGGCACCUAAUUAUGAGGAGCCCGAAGAGGACCCACGUCAUCUGGGAAAAUUUGGAAAGGUGCAAUUUCUUCCUCAUAAUGGCAAUGGACCAGAUUUGCUGCCUCUGGCUCCUGGUUGUUCUGAAUGGAAAAACUCAAGAAAGAAUCACCAUGAACUGCUGCUGCAUGGUAAUUAUGAAUGGUUGAAGUCGAGGCAGGCACAUGGUGAACAACCUGAAGUGGUGGUGAUGGUACGUGCUCUGCUGGAAGCCAGCCCAACAAGCCAUUAGAUCUCCUCCUGCCAGAUGAAAAGUUACCACAACUCUAGGUGAUUGAAUUACUUGGGCAAUAAAUUGCAUGCAUCAAUAAAUCAUUAUAAUUGAUUAUUUAUGCUAUUACUGGAAAACCAAGUGAAGAAUCAGCAGAACUACAACACCAAGAUUAAAUAGAUAAGGUGUAUGCAAGGAUGCAAUAAGACAUGACAAGAAACAUUGAAGGAAAGGCAUACUGCAGAUUUUUACAAAUGGAGGAAUUUUUCAUCUUUAUAUGGACCUCCAUAGAGAUUAUCAGAAGAUUGAAUACCUUAUAGUCUAAUCCUAGUUAAGGAUAAGGGCAUUAAAAACCAAUGUCAAGCAUGAUCAAAGCAGUUAAACUUCCAUUAUUUUACAUUUUCGGUUAACAUAAAAAUCAGGGAAUAACAGUCUGAAUGUCUGAUAUAAAAAUGGAAUUAAAUAUCACCAUCAGGAACUUGGUGGAUCAGUUUAAUGGCAAUUUCCAAAUUUUACUUGCAAGGUUGUACAGAAUCUAGUGAAACUUACCUGGGUUGAAGAAUAGCCCUAUGACCAACGGACACAAAAUUUCGCAGACCACCAGCACCAUACUGGGCAGCUCUCUGAGCAGCUGAUGCAACAAAAGGCUGGUUGGCACCAAUAAAAUUGCCACACAUCGGAGUGAAAACAGCUCGAUGGAUUGGUUCGUGACCAUGAAAGAUAACUCGAGAAGUAGAAAUCUCACUGAUCAUGGGUGGACCAUACAGGUGAUGAUUGGCAGUAAAAAUGGGACAAUCACGAUCUGCAUCGACGGAAAGUAAAUGUUUAUUACAGUGUCAUAACAAGUGAACCAUCCAAUUUCAUGAUCACCAGCAUAGCGGAAAAGAAAAAGAUCCCAACAACUUACGGCCCAGUAAUGGAAACUCUGUUACCCUGCAAGAUUCCCAAAAAAGAAAAAAAAAACACAAUUGAGACAGAGGAGCCAUAACAAACAUGGUAUGAGGGUCCAGGAUCGGGGCAUCAGUGAUUCAUAGAUGACAUAAUAUGCUUACCGUUGAAAAUCAGGACCCCAGUCAUUAUUUCCAACACAUUGCUGAGGUAUCUGUAAACAAAAUCACACCACGAGAAACAAAAAGCAAACACCAAUUAUCAGUCAAAGGCACAAACAAUGACACAUAGACCUCUUCAUUCAUGCACACAAAGAAUUAGAUAUAUAUCAAGAAAGAGAAAGGGGGAAAGAGAUAUCUUAUAUGUUACUAAAAACAGCAGUAUAUCUUGGGAGAAAGUCUUGCAAAUAAAUAUAGUAGAUCUGUGAAAGUGACAUACAGUAGUAUAGUAGCACUUUGAUACCUAUAGCAGAAUGAGGAAAUAUAUAAAGCCACAAUAAUCACAUAAUAAAUGUUUUAUUUUUAUUUUUUUGGGUAAAUUUUGACAUCAAGAGAAUAACCUCAUGAUCAAGAGGGAUAAAGUCUGAUCACCAGAGACAACCCUAAAUAAUUACGUAGCAAGAUGGAGAUAGGAGGCCCUAAAUGAUCACUCAGUAAUAAAAUGAGGUAAGGGUAUGGAUAUGAUCAAGAGGUUUGGCUAGAAUCAGUUAUCUCUUAAUGAAGGUAUAGUGUUCAGAUCAGGUGCAACUGAGCUGAAGGGGGGACGGUCUGAAAGGGAUCUACUAAAGACAAGUCACUUUCUAAUCAAUGCUCAGAGUUUCUUGCUC